UCAUAAUUUCUUGAUAUAAGGAAUAAGGAAUAGCACUCACACUAGCACCUAUGUCACAUAGACCAUGAUAACAGUGAUCUCCUAUUUUAACUGAGACAACAGGCAUGCCAACAACAGGUCUAUGAUUAUCCUUUUUAUUAGGUUUGGCAAUUCUGGCAGCUUCUUCACAGAAGUAAAUAACAUGCCCAUCUACGUUUUCUUCCAGGAGAUCCUUAAUCAUAGCAACACUAGGUUCUACUUUAAUUUGUUCAUCAGGUUUACGUGUUCUAAUAUAAAUUUUGUUAACCACAGUUGAAACUUUAGCAUGUUCCUUUAUCCUAACAGGGAAAGGUGGAUUCUCAAUAUAAGUAGUAGGAACAACUGGAUCAACAUUAUAAAGUGUAGUUUCCUCUUUAAUUGGUACCGGUUCUUUAAUUUCUUCUUUAAUAUGUGGGUGAUAUUUGAACCACGUCUCCUUAGGGAGAUCAACAUGAGUAGAAAAUGAUUCACAAAAGGAGGCUACUAUCUCAGAGUCAAGUCCAUAUUUAGUGCUAAACUUUUAAAAACAUUGGUAUUCAUAAAGGAUUUAACACAAUCAUACUUAAGUUUAAUACCUGGCUCUUUACCUUCGUCGAAUUCCAAUCUUUAGAGUUGCAUUUAAUUCUUUCCAAAAGAUCCCACCGGAAUUCAACAGUGGGUUGUGCCCACCUGGUGGCCCGGCAGACCCUCAAACCGACGCUAUAAAAACCUAUUUUUCAAGAAAAAAAUCAGGGAGAAAGAAUUAUCGCGAUCCACAAGACGGAGUCGCCCUCACCUCCUGUUCUUCAUUGGGAGGCCUGAUCUGGAGUCCGUUUGGGGCUCCGAAGAGGGGGAUCUUCGUUCUUCGUCAUCACCAACCCUUCUCCAUCAUCAAUUCCAUGAUGCUCCCCACCGGGAGUGAGUAAUUCCUUCGUAGGCUCGCUGGUCGGUGAGGAAUUAGAUGAGAUUCAUCAUGUAAUCGAGUUAGUUUUGUUAGGGCUUGAUCCCUAGUAUCCACUAUGUUUUGAGAUUGAUGUUGCUAUGACUUUGCCAUGCUUAAUGCUUGUCACUUUGGGCCCAGGUGCCAUGAUUUCAGAUCUGAACUAUUUAUGUUAUCACCAUUAUAUCCAUGUUCUAGAUCUGAUCUUGCAAGUUAUAGUCACCUACUACGUGUUAUCCGGCAACCCCAGAGUGACAAUAAUCGGGACCACUCCCGGUGAUGACCGUAGUUUGAGGAGUUCAUGUAUUCAUCGUGUGUUAAUGCUUUGUUCCGGUUCUCUAUUAAAAGGAGGCCUUAAUAUCCCUUAGUUUCCAAUAUGGAUCCCGCUGCCACGGGAGGGUAGGAAAAAGAUGUCAUGCAAUUUCUUUCCAUAAGCACGUAUGACUAUUUACGAAAUACAUGCCUACAUUAUAUUUAUGAACUGGAGCUAGUGUCGUAUCGCCCUAGGUUAUGACUGUCACAUGAUGAAUAUCAUCCAACAAAUUACCGAUCCAAUGCCUACGAAUUUAUCUUAUAUUGUUUCUACUAAGUUACUGCUGUUGUUGUCACUGUUGCACUUGCUACAAAAUUACUGCUAUCAUUGUUACUGUUACCAUUGCUGCUGUCACUAUUAUCAAAUCUACCAAACUACUUUGCUACUGAUCACUUGCUGCAGAUAAUUAAUCUCCAGGUGUGGUUGAAUUGACAACUCAGCUGCUAAUACUUACAAAUAUUCUUUGGCUCCCCUUGUGUCGAAUCUAUAAAUUUGGGUUGAAUACUCUACCCUCGAAAACUGUUGCGAUCCCCUAUACUUGUGGGUUAUUGAGACCUUUUUCUGGCGCCGUUGCCGGGGAGCAUAGCUAUAUUUGUUGAGUCACUUGGGAUUAGUAUCAAUUUAUCACUAUGAAGAAUCUGAAGGAUGCUAAGACUAAAAUUUAUCCCUCUAAGACGAGGGGAGGUAAGGAACUGCCAUCCAGUUCUGCUUUAGAGUCACCUUCUGUUAUAAUUAAACUUGCAACACCACCACAUGCUAUUAAUCCUGAUAUGUUGUAAGUUAUUGAUGAUGCUACUUCUACUAUGAAUGAUACUUAUGAUGAUGCUAGUACCUUGCUUGAUGAUGAUGUGCCACUUGGUGACUUUCUUGAUGAACAAAUUGCUAAAGUAAUACAACAUGAUGUUGUUGCAUCUGAUGAUGAGCUUAAAACUGAAACACCUGCUAGAACUAGCCUUCCUAGAUAUGAAUUGCCUAAGGUACCGGAAGGUUAUGUUAUGAGUGAGGAGACAACUAGAGAUAUUCUUGCUUGUAAGGAUAGAGAUGAUCUAGAGAAAUUAUUAUGCAGGUAUAAAGAAAAAUCUCUGAAUGCUAGAAUACAAUAUGAUCCUAAGUUUGCUACAUCACCUAUCUUUAUUGCUGAUAAGGAUUGUGAAUUCUCUGUCGACCCAGAGUUAAUUACUUUGGUUGAAUCUGAUCCUUUCCAUGGUUAUGAAACUAAAACUGUUGUGGCACAUCUUACUAAGUUGACUGACAUAGCCACCCUUUUUACUCAUGAUGAGAAAACUCGCUAUUACUAUAUUCUCAAAUUAUUUCCAUUCUCAUCAAAGGGUGAUGCUAAAGCUUGGCACAAUACUCUUCCUCCUGGCUGUGUACGUAUUCCCCAGGAUAUGAUUUAUUACUUCUCUGAAAAAUAUUUUUCUGCUCAUAAGAAACAAGCUGCCUUACAGGAAAUAUUUAACUUCGUGCAAACUAAUGAAGAGAGUCUCCCACAAGCUUGGGGGAGGCUUUGCCAGUUACUUAAUGCUUUGCCUGAUCAUCCUCUUAAGAAAAUUGAAAUACUUGAUAUCUUCUAUAAUGGACUAACCGAUGCUUCUAGGGAUUUCCUAGAUAGUUGUGCUGGUUGUGUUUUCAGGGAACGAACUGCUGGACAAGCUGAAGAAUCAUUGAAUAACAUAUUGAAAAAUUAUGAUGAUUGGACUCUUCCUGAACCACCGCCUAAACCACUCUGAAGAAGAGGGGUAUAUUAUAUCUCAGUCAUGAAGAUAUGCAAGAUGCAAAGAAAUCUAUGAAGGAAAAAGGUAUUAAAGCUGAGAAUGUUAAAAAUUUACCUCCUAUUGAAGAAAUACAUGGGCUUAAUACACCACCACUGCCUAAGGUGGUAGAGGUAAAUUCUCUAAUGAAAUUCAAUGAUAAUGACAAUCCUCACAAUAUGCACCCUAGUCAAUGCCUUUAUGAGUUUGAGAAUUACGUUAGAAAGCAAGAUCACUUCAAUGCAAAUGUUAUUAAACAAUUGAAAUGCACUUCUGAUAUGAUUGCUCACUUGAGUGCCUUGUUGUUUAGAAUCUCAAAUGAUGUUAGAGGUGUUGGAAAACAUGCUUCUAUGGUAAAAACCCAGUUAGAACAAGUUGCUAAAUCUCAAAGAGAAUUGCAUGACGAAAUGAAUAACAACAUACAUGACUUUGUUGUUAGAGUUGCAACUAGAGGAGGUAAAAUGACUCAGGAACCACUUUAUCCUGAAGGACACCCAAAAAGAAUUGAACAGGAUUCACAAAGGAACAACACCACUGCACCUAGUCCUUCUAAAAAGAAGAAGAAAAAGAAAAAUGAUAGGACUCUGCAUGCUUCUAGUGAGCCUAAAAUAGAAAAACCUCCUGACAAUGAUAAUGAUGUUUCUAUUUCUAAUGCUGAAACUCAAUCUGGUAAUGAACAUUCACCUAGUGAUAAUGAAAAAGAUAAUGUUGAUGUUCAUUAAGAUUCUCAACCAAACAAUGAAAAAUAACAAGAUAAUGAUGUUGAAAUAGAACCAGCUGUUGAUCUUGAUAACCCACAACCCAAGAAUACACGAUAUGAUAAAAUAGACUUCAUUGCUAGAAAACACGAUAAAGAAAGAGAACCGUGGUUUUAAAAACCUAUGCCUUUUCCACCCAAGUCAGCUAAAAAGAAAGAUGAUGAAGAAUUUGAAAGUUUUGCUAAAAUGUUGAGGCCAGCCUUUUUUGCGUACUCGCUUGACUGAUAUCUUGAAAAUGCCUCCUUAUGCAAAGUACAUGAAAGACAUCAUCACUAAUAAGAGAAAAAUACCGGAAGCUGAAAUCUCCACUAUGCUUGCUAGUUAUACUUUUACGGAUGGAGUAUGAUACGUCUCCAAUGUAUCUAUAAUUUUUUAUUGUUCCAUGCUGUUGUAUUAUCAAUCUCGGAUGUUUUAUAAUCAUUUUAUAUAUAGUCAUUUUAUAUCAGUUUUUGGUACUAACCUAUUCACAUAGUGCCAAGUGCAAGUUGAUGUUUUCUGCAUGUUUUUUACAUCGCAGGAAACCAAUACCAAAUGGAGUCCAAACGCAGCGAAACUUUUUGGAGAUUUUUUUGGACCAGAAGACAUCCAGUGGGCCGGAGAAGCACCUGGGGGUGCUUCGAGGGGAGCACAACCCACCAGAGCGCGCCUGGGGGCCCAGGCGCGCCCAGGUGGGUUGUUCCCACCUCGGGUGCCCCCCGAACCGCCUCUUUGCUCUAUAAAUACCCCAAUAUUCCACAAACCCUAGGGGAGUCGACGAAAAUCAAUUCCAGCCGCCGCAGAGUCCGGAACCGCCAGAUCCAAUAUAGACACCAACACGGAGGGGUUCACCACUUCCAUUGGUGCCUCUCCGAUGAUGCAUGAGUAGUUUGUAGACCUACGGGUCCAUAGUUAGUAGCUAGAUGGCUUCCUCUCUCUCUUUUGAUUAUCAAUACAAUAGUCUCUUGGAGAUCCAUAUGAUGUAACUCUUUUUGCGGUGUGUUUGUUCGGAUCAGAUGAACUUUGAGUUUAUGAUCAGAUCUAUCUUUUUAUCCAUGAAAGUUAUUUGAGUCUUCUUUGAUCUAUUAUAUGCAUGAUUUCUUAUAGCCUCGUAUUUCUUCUCCGAUAUUUGGGUUUUGUUUGGCAAACUAGAUCUAUUUAUCUUGCAAUGGGAAGAGGUGCUUUGUAGUGGGUUCGAUCUUAUGGUGCUUGAUCGCAGUGACAGAAGGGGAUCCGACACGUAUGUAUCAUUGCUACUAAGGAUAAAACGAUGGGGUCUAUUUCUACAUAAAUAGAUCUUGUCUACAUCAUGUCAUCGUUCUUAUUGCAUUACUCCGUUUCUCCAUGAACUUAAUACACUAGAUGCAUGCUGGAUAGCGGUCGAUGUGUGGAGUAAUAGUAGUAGAUGCAGGCAGGAGUCGGUCUACUAAUCUUGGACGUGAUGCCUAUAUAAUGAUCAUUGCCUGGAUAUGUCAUGAUUAUUUGAAGUUUUAUCAAUUGCCCAACAGUAAUUUGUUCACCCACCGUUGUUAUUUUUCUCGAGAGAAGCCACCAGUGAAACCUACGGCCCCUGGGUCUCUUCUUUAAUAUAUUUGCCUUUGCGAUCUAUUUUCCUUUGCUUUUAUUUUUAGAUCUAUUAAACCAAAAAUACAAAAAUACCUUGCUGCACUUUAUUUUAUUGUGCGUUCGAUCUAUCAAUAUUUAUUACUCUCUCACGUCCGUUUGCCUAUCUCUAGGCGCCGUUACCCGAAAGGGAUUGACAACCCCUUUUACACGUCGGGUUGCGAGUAUUUGUUAUUGUGUGCAGGUGUUGUUUACAUUGUGUUGCUUGGUUUUCCUACUGGUUCGAUAACCUUGGUCUCAUCACUAAGUGUCGUGGUUUUGUCAUGGCAGAUGUCCUAGUGAGAGGACUUAGUCAUGGAGCCAUCGCGACGGGUUAGCUUAAAGGGGUUAAAGCGAACAAAGGACGCAGAGAGUUUUAUACUGGUUCGGCCCCUUGCAGUGAAGGUAAAGGCCUAAUCCAGUCGUUGUGGAAUUGCUAGGGUUUCGAUGACCAGGGAGCGAACCCUCUAUGCCUGGCUCUCGAGUUGUUGUUUCUUGUCCCUAAACCGCCGCGGGUGGUCCCUUUAUAUCCACAGGUUGACGCCCGGUGGUUUACAGAAUCCCGAGGGCGGCUCAUAAAUGUGUCCGGCUCGGUUUCUACCUUUCUUAUCUUACAACACAAGUUACAUAUGAUAUGGUGGUUUAUGUCUACAGGCCAUAACCCGCCUCUGGGCCCUGGGCCUUCGUAAAGCGCCACACUCCUUGUCUUCAUGGGCUUCAAAUAUAAAUAACUCAUUAUGGGGAUAACCCGGCCUCUCCUGGCCGGUUUAUACCCUGUAGUAAUAUCCCCAACAUUAGGCCCCAGGUUGAUUUGAACUGGUUCAUGUCAAUCUUCAACACUUAAGAAAAGUUCCUCCUUCAGCACUUUCGCAUAAAUCUUGUAAACCGCCAUGACGUCAUCUUACAGGAUCAGGAUAAACCGCCAUGACGUCACCUGUUAUUAAAGAUUGCAUAUAUCUCACCUUCAUUAAUGAGCCUCCGACAAUCGAGGCGACAGCUCUGUCACAUAUCCAACUUUUGGGCUCCUCAAUUUUCGCGCCUGUCACUUAUCCCUUCUCCUUAUAAAUAAGACCAGGGGUCCUUUCCAUUCCCCCCUGUGCCUCUUUGCUUCUUCUUCCUCCUUGCGCCGACCUAACCCUCACGCGCGGCCGCCGUCGUCAAGCUCCGCCCUCGACUUCAACUCCGGCCGUUGCAUCAACCUUAUCGUACUAGAGUAACGCGGCGCUCCUCCGCUGCUCCAUCAGCAUCAGUAAGUUUCUCCUUUCCAUGCUCUAGAUCCACCAUUAGGGUUUCGGUGUUCAUCGGAGUUCAUUGAAGCUCCGGCGCUGUUCUUCCCUGUUCUUCUUAGUAGCAUAAAUGGCUAGUUUGGACUGAUAUUUCUUGUGCGGUCGUAGUCAUAAUCCCCUUUUUCCUCAUUAGAGCAUCCCCUUCGUAUAGAAAAACUCAUCUGAAUCUGAUGAACAGUUGAAGCACCUGUAUUUUAGGUCUGAAUAUAUUUCAGUUUUCUGACACGUUGCAGAUCUAAAUUUAUCAUACCAGUCUGUGAAACCUGUUUUCCCCUCACUUAGCUAUUUUAGAUUUGUACCUUUCAUACCAAUAUAGGCGGUUUAGCUUUUUAGAAAAUGAUAGUCCGGUAGGUACCAUUAGUCCCCUUUUAAACCGCCAAUUCAUUUAUCUUUGUAAUUCCUCCAAUAUUAGACUCCAGUUUAACAAAUGUCAGACUCCGGUUUAACAAUGUAUAUAUGCCUCUGUUUCUGCUUCUGAUCUUGCGUCGCUUUAUACUUGUUCGUCAUAAAUCUUAAACCGGCAUUAAUCCUUUUUCCAGAUUUUUGUUGAAAUGGCCAAACAAUUUUAUGCUUGUAAUUGGGUCCCUUCCCGGGUUACGGAAGAGCAACUAGAAGGCUGUGUCGCCACCGGCGCUUUAGUGAAGAAAGAAGUUAUCCAGUGGAGGGUCCCUGGUCCAGAAAAUCCUCCUGAGCCCAAGGAUGGAGAAGUAGUCGUGUUUGCUGACCACCUGAGCCGAGGGUUUAGCCCUCCCAGAUCAAAAUUCUUCCGAGAUGUACUUGCUAGCUUCCAACUCCACCCUCAGGACAUUGCCCAAACUCUGUGUCCAAUGUUUGCCAUUUCCAAGUAUUUUGCGAGGCUUAUCUUCAAGAGGAGCCCAUAGUUGAACUGUUUAGGGAUUUCUUCUAUUUAAACUGUCGUACAGAGUUUACAGACGGAUCCAACACUGAACUUGGUGGCAUGGCUAUUCAAAAGAGGAAAGAUGUCAGCUUCCCUCACGCCAAGCUUCAUAGUCACCCCAAGGACGGGAAUCAGACUUGGUUUUAUUGCAAAGAUACAUCUCCAACUGACGAAAAUCCUCUGCCGGGUUACCUCCUCACCGUCUUAGCAACACACAUCCCUUUCCUCAGAGAUUAACUUCAAAGGAAAGAUCCAACUACGCACCACAACUGUCAAAGCUCAGAGCCUUUAUGGCGAACGGUUUAACACGUGUUGAUUUUGCUCGCUGCUGGAUAACCUAGAGCAUUUUGCCCUUAAGUCGGCGCCCCGGUUUAAUGUGUGAGUACAUAGGGAGUUUGAAAGAUCCUCAGCGACAUGUUGAUAUUCAGCUAACAGAAGUUGAAGUUACCGAGUCUUUCAAGAAAAUACUGAAUGAACCGGAAGCUGUCUGUAGCCAAACCGGAUUAAGUCCUUUCUGCGUUUCCAAUAAACCGCCAACUGUAAGAAUCACAUAACUUUUUUGUUUUAGCUUGCUCCUUCUUAAUACUGUAUCAAAAUUUUGUCCAUUUUUGACAAGGCGAUGAUCCAUUCUGGAAGAAAAAACCACAGGAUAAACCGGCAAAAAUACCUCGCCCGAAGACCAAGGUUACCAAAAAACCUGCCAAGAAGAGGACCACUGAGUCUUCUGAACCAAAUACUGAUGCUGACCUGGCUAAUCCGGAUUCAGAGGUAGAACUUGACUCUCUUGGAUCUUUUUUCAUACACCUCAUUGACAAUGACUGUUACUAGGAUGAUGCUGAAGGCAGCCAAGCUGAUGAUGCAGAGGUAAUUAUCCUUUCUUCCGGUUUAGACCCUCUGCCAACACAGAAAAUCCGUCAAGCAAACCGGAAAGUAAAAUUUUCUCACCCCUUAGCUCACUUGGACCCAAACUUUCUUUUGAAGAAGCAGCAACACGAAGCCCGCCGCACAACCCGGCACAGCGGCCAGGUAGUUACCUCUGCCGGUUUACCGAACACUCCAGUCCGGAAACGUCGAUCAGAGGUCUCUUAUAUUCCUGAUAUUUCUUGCCCCAAGGCGGGUUGUUUCCGACAGCCUCUUAAUCCGUCUGAUCCGAAUUAUCAGGGAACACCUCAUUCAUCCUUUGGCGAGUGAACGGCCACACAACUUCCAACCCUCAAGACGGUUCCGGGGUGAGUUAUGCUUUAACUUCAUCCUUAAUAUACUAUGUUCAUCCAAUGCAUUGACCUUUACAUUUAUUUUUCUCAGUGCCAAGCCUAGACCCAGUAAAAAGGCUCAGUUAAUUAAACCAGCUGAUGAUAAUGUGGUUAUUGAACCGGAGAGAACUCUAGAGCCAGAAGGAACAAAUGUUGAUGCCAUGCUUAAUGAUCCGCCGCCUCAAGACCAUGACUUUUUAUUGAACAAGUAGAAGUUGACACCACAGGCCAUGCUGAUAAACCGACAAGCCCGGCCCGAACUGAUGAUAAACCGGCAAGUCCAGCUAAGGCUGCUGAUAAAUCGUCAUCUCCGAUGAAGGCUGCUGAUGAUAAAGAGGAUGACAUUAUGAUUACUGGCUUCGGCCACACUGCUCCUGGCAAUCCUGUCGCUUUAUCCAAGCAUAGUGCCAAGGACAAGCUUUCUGCUAUGGGCAAAGGCAAAUGGAACACAGAUUUGUCAAGCUAUGCCCACCUCAACGCCCAAGACAUCCAUUCUGGUUUUUUGAACCAUCUGUACACAAGUCGCGACUUUGAAGCCGGUUUAGUGAAUCUGAUGAAAGAGCGAUAUGAGGUAACUGCAUAACUGUUUCUCCCUUAUGUCCAAUUCCAAAUAUCAACUCCAGUAGCCCCCAAGUGCCGGUUUAUGAUAUCCAUCUAAAUCGGGACUUUGUAAUAUCUCAACUUUGCAUGCUUAGCCUCCAAGGGCCGGGUUAUCUUUUUAAGAUGAACCGGUACUUGAGAAUUGUAAUAUUGUAAUUUUCGCCGGUGUAGUCCCCAAGGGCCGGUUUAACUUAUGAAGAUGAACCGGGACUUCAGAAUAACCACCUUGUCACUUUCACCUGUAUAAUCCCCCAUGGCCGGUUUAUCCUUUAAAGCUAAACCGGGACUUUAGAAGAGUACCCAUAAUGUUACUUUGAUCAAACAUACAUUAGCCCCCAAAUGCCAAGAGUAAUACUUGUAUUGUACUUGGGACUUGUAGAAAUUUUCGAUAAUGAGCAAAUAGGCAUUAGCCCCCAAGUAUCAGGUGCAUAACUUGUUAUGUGCUUGGUACUUCAAAUAUGUACUGCCAACUCAUGAUAUGUCUGUCUCUUAUAGGCUGAGCUGAGCAAAAAGGAAGCUCAAACCGCUGAUCUGCAAGAAAAUAUCAAGUCCCAGCAAGCAGAAACCUCCAAAGCCAAAGAUGAGCUGACCAGUGCCUUAGCCGCUAUGGAAAAGUUGAAGGAGGGUUUCAACAAGGAGCGGGCGGAUUGGGACACAGAAAAAUCCGCUUUGAAAAAAAGAGCCGAGGACGCAGAAGCAACUCUUAAACCGGUGGUAGACGAGUUGACUGGUGUAAAGCGGCAAAUACAUGCCAUGACUGCUGCUGUGUUUGGUAAAUAUCCUUGCUUUAAGUUUUCAACAUAUCAUCCCAUAUAUUGUUGGUUUACUGAUGUCCAUAAUGAUGCAGGAACUCGCAUUAGCCAUCUGGGAGGAGCAAAAAAACAAAAGAAACCGAAGGCUGCGUAUACUCUUAUAGAGCAGUUAUAUACCGGCGCGCAACGGGUAAUAUGCACUGCUUCUCAUAACAAGCCGCCCCCAACCUUAAUCAAAUAAACUUUAGAAAGGUUGUCCAUGUUGCCUGCCUGGAUUGAAGAAUUGAAAAGAUCGACUGCAAGGGUAGGUGCUCUGACCGCGCUAACCCGGGCUAAGGCAUGGGUGCUUGAUCUUGAUCCGGUGGACGUGGGUAAAGGCUAUCCGAGCUUAAGGGAGGACGGAUCAGACUUUGACAAUGAUGCCCUCCGAGUUAUAACCAGGGAGAUGCGUCCACUGGCUUGCCAAUUGGCUGAAGAAGCUGACCUGUCAUACUAUCAGGCGAGUUAUGACGUCAACAACAAACGGGUUGCUGCACCAACUCCUGAGGCUCAAAACCUCAUUCCGCCAAUCCAUAAGCACACCUAUGCCCCUGACAUUGAGCCGUCCACCCUUAUAAGUGACGAAGCUGUAUUCCAAGCCCUAACUGGGAUCGACUGGGCAACCAUUGACUUCCAGCCACUGGGUAGAGAUGAAGAGGAUGAACCGGUGCAAGAUGAUCCGCAGCCGUCAAGUCAACCUGGUGACGAAUCAUGAUCCGGAGGCCGGUUUAGCCUUCUGCGUACUGCAACACUUGCCGAAAAACAAUUAUCCUUUUGGGCAUUAAAGCGCCUUGUAAUAGGCUAGUUCAAACAUUUUGUCUGCUAUGCCAUCGCACAUAUUUAUUUUGCUUGACACCGUUAAUUCGUCAUGCUUAAGAUAUAUGAUGUUCAUAAUCCGCAACUGCACCUGCAUACAAGAAGUUGAAAGUGUCCUGGCGGUUUACCGUCGGACGGGUCAUGAUGCCCAAAUACCUAGCCAGGGUUUAUAACCGAGGCUGUAAAAAGAUAAUAAAAUAUGAAAAUAAAUGAUACCUGUGACCUUGAAUCACAUCGUUGGUUGACCAACUUUUGUAGUGAGGGUGAUAACCCUAAUCAUGAGUACUGAUAACUCCUUCCAUAUUGUGCCGGUUUAUGAUAAAACCGUACCGGGUUGUAAUAAACACCGGAUUAUCUAUAUAUAACACUGGUGACUUAUAGUCGAAACCAGACCGGGUUUAUAAGCACCGGAUUAUAACUGAUCAUGUACUGACAACUUGUAGUUGAAAGCCAAGUCGGGUCAAUAAACGCCGGUCUAUUAUAAAAUAUUAUAAACCUCAAAAGGAGUAAAAACUUGGCAAAUAAAGCAAAAAAGAACAUGCGAGGCUUUUCAUGGGCUGCCAGGCCCCAAAUCGAGGCUUUUCAUGGGCUGUCAGGCCACUGAGUUAAACCAUUUUACAAAGCCUUUUAAGAUGGACCUCAAUCUUUAACCAAUCGUCGUUUUAACUUUGAUAAGUUCAGGGUCUAUGAGAUUGACUUGUCAAAAGUUCGGCGGGUCAUACCAGGUUUACCUGGACGGAGUGGCUUACUUAAAAAGGCAGGAUAACCCGGGGUUUUAGGUGAAUACACCUGGCUUCCAAGCCGUGGCUUGAUAGCCUAUUACAAGUGUAGAUUCUUUGUUCAUUGCGAAGCAAAGAAUCCCCAAGCAAUAUUUUGAGCUGUGCUCAGUGGGUGCCUAUGUUUGAGUUGUGCUUUUGCAACACUCUCUUUGGCCCUGAAGUAAUUUUCUUUUGGCCUUGAGCCGAUCAAGAGGUGUAGCUAUGGUUCGAAUACGACCAAGCCCCCAAGUGAUUUUCCUGGUGGCCUUGCGCCGAUCAAGAGGUUUAGCUUAUGGUUCGAAUACGACCAAGCCCCCAAGUGAUUUUUAUAUAUGGCUUUAUAAGCUGAAUCAAGGGGUAAACCGGACUCCGCUUUAUAAACAGAAGCCCCCAUGUAACCACACAUGAUGUAAGAAAAACAACAAAUACCCCGCUUUAGCUGAGGCUCCGGUUUAUUAUAUUGAUCAUAAUAUAUACAUUGUCAUAACUAUGUCAAUAAUUAGAGUUGUGGCUCAAGUAUAGUAAGGCCGAAGAUGAGCGAUAUUCCAUGGCCAGUGGGUCUCCUCCUCCGAUUUACGUGAGUCUUUGUGCUCUCGAACAUCUAUAAGGUAGUAUGACCCGUUAUGCAAAUUCUUGCUGACCACAAAGGGCCCUUCCCAAGGCGGGGAUAACUUGUGCAUAUCAGUCUGAUCCUAGAUGAGUCGGAGCACCAGAUCGCCUUCUUGAAAAGUUUUGGUUCUAAUCUGGCGGCUGUGAUAGCGACGCAGAUCUUGCUGGUAAAUCACCGACCAAGCUGCUGCAAUGUCACGCUCCUCAUCUAACAGGUCAAGUGCUUCCUGUCGUGCCUUCUCACUGUCAGCUUCGACAUAAGCCGCCACACGAGGCGAGUCAUGACGGAUGUCACUAGGGAGAACCGCCUCUGCUCCGUAAACCAUGAAAAAGGGCGUGCAACCCGUGGAUCUGUUGGGCGUGGUGUUGAUGCUCCAUAACACGGCUUCCAAACAACAACCCGGCGUCCGUUUCAAAGGAACCAUGAGCCGGGGUUUGAUGCCUCUCAAGAUCUCUUGAUUGGCUCUCUCCGCUUGACCAUUAGAUUGGGGGUGAGCCACUGACGAUACGUCAAGCUGGAUGUGCUCCCGUUGACAGAACUCUUUCAUUGCACCUUUGGACAGAUUAGUGCCAUUAUCAGUUAUGAUGCUGUGUGGAAAGCCAAACCAGAAAAUCACCUUCUUGAUGAAUUGAACCGCCGUAGCUGCAUCACACCUACUGACUGGCUGUGCCUCCAUCCACUUAGUGAACUUAUCAACCGUCACCAGAAGGUGGGUCUUCUUAUCCUUAGAUCUCUUAAAGGGCCCAACCAUAUCCAGCCCCCAAGUCACAAACGGCCAAGUGAUUGGAAUCAUCCUCUACUCUUGAGCCGGUACAUGAGCGCGUCGUGAGAAUUACUGACAACCGUCGCACUUUUUCACCAAGUCUUCCACAUCAGCAUGAGCCGUCAGCCAAUAGAAGCCAUGACGAAAAGCUUUAGCUACCAGGGACUUUGAACCGGCGUGGUGACCACAAUCCCCUUCGUGGAUCUCACGCAGAAUCUCACGGCCUUCUUCAGGAGAUACACAACGUUGAAACGCCCCUGUUACACUGCGGUGAUGUAAUUCUCCAUUGACAAUGGUCAUUGACUUGGAUCACCAGAUUAUCUGUCUGGCCAAAGUUUCAUCCUCUGGCAACUCGCCCCGGUUCAUAUACGCCAAAUAUGGGACGGUCCAAUCCGGGAUAACAUGAAGCGCCGCCACCAAUUGAGCCUCCGGAUCAGGAACAACCAGAUCCUCCUCUAUGGGGAGUUUGACUGACGGACUAUGCAGUACAUCCAGAAAGACGCUGGGUGGAACCGAUUUACGCUGGGAACCCAAACGGCUUAAAGCGUCCGCCGCUUCAUUCUUCCGCCGGUCCACAUGAUCAACCUGAUAGCCCUUGAAGUGACCUGCAACAAUAUCCACCUCUCGACGAUAUGCUACCAUGAGCGGAUCCUUGGAAUCCCAAGUACCAGACACUUGUUGAGCCACUAGGUCCGAGUGUUGGAAAUAUGCCCUAGAGGCAAUAAUAAAUGGUUAUUAUUAUAUUUCUUUGCUCAUGAUAAUUGUCUAUUGUUCAUGCUAUAAUUGUGUUAUCCGGAAAUCGUAAUACACGUGUGAAUAUAUAGACCACAACGUGUCCCUAGUAAGCCUCUAGUUGACUAGCUCGUUGAUCAACAGAUAGUCAUGGUUUCCUGACUAUGGACAUUGGAUGUCAUUGAUAACGGGAUCACAUCAUUAGGAGAAUGAUGUGAUGGACAAGACCCAAUCCUAAGCAUAGCAUAAAAGAUCGUGUAGUUCGUUUGCUAGAGCUUUUCCAAUGUCAAGUAUCUUUUCCUUAGACCAUGAGAUCGUGUAACUCCCGGAUACCGUAGGAGUGCUUUGGGUGUGCCAAACGUCACAACGUAACUGGGUGACUAUAAAGGUACACUACGGGUAUCUCUGAAAGUGUCUGUUGGGUUGACACGGAUCGAGACUGGGAUUUGUCACUCCGUAUGACGGAGAGGUAUCUCUGGGCCCACUCGGUAAUGCAUCAUCAUAAUGAGCUCAAUGUGACUAAGGAGUUAGCCACGGGAUCAUGCAUUACGGUACGAGUAAAGAGACUUGCCGGUAACGAGAUUGAACAAGGUAUUGGGAUACCGACGAUCGAAUCUCGGGCAAGUAACAUACCGAUUGACAAAGGGAAUUGUAUACGGGAUUGAUUGAAUCCUCGACAUCGUGGUUCAUCCGAUGAGAUCAUCGUGGAACAUGUGGGAGCCAACAUGGGUAUCCAGAUCCCGCUGUUGGUUAUUGACCGGAGAGGCGUCUCGGUCAUGUCUGCAUGUCUCCCGAACCCGUAGGGUCUACACACUUAAGGUUCGGUGACGCUAGGGUUGUAGAGAUAUUAGUAUGCGGAAACCCGAAAGUUGUUUGGAGUCCCAGAUGAGAUCCCGGACGUCACGAGGAGUUCCGGAAUGGUCCGGAGGUGAAGAAUUAUAUAUAGGAAGUCCAGUUUCGGCCACCGGGAAAGUUUCGGGGGUUAUCGGUAUUGCAUCGGGGCCACCGGAAGGGUCCCGGGGGUCCACCGGGUGGGGCCACCUAUCCCGGAGGGCCCCAUGGGCUGAAGUGGGAAGGGAACCAGCCCUUAGUAGGCUGGGGCGCCCCCCUUGGGCCUCCCCCUGCGCCUAGGGUUGGAAACCCUAGGGGUGGGGGCGCCCCACUUGGCUUGGGGGGGAAGCCACCCCCCCUUCCCCCGUGGCCGCCGCCCUCCCUUGGAGAUCUGAUCUCCCAGGGCCGUCGCCCCCCCAGGGGGCCUGUAUAUAGUGGGGGGAGGGAGGGCAGCAGCACCACAGCCCCUGGCGCCUCCCUCUCCCCCUGCAACACCUCUCCCUCUCGCAGAAGCUUGGCGAAGCCCUGCCGAGAUCCCCGCUACUUCCACCACCACGCCGUCGUGCUGCUGGAUCUCCAUCAACCUCUCCUUCCCCCUUGCUGGAUCAAGAAGGAUGAGAUGUCGCUGCUCCGUACGUGUGUUGAACGUGGAGGUGUCGUCCGUUCGGCACUCGGUCAUCGGUGAUUUGGAUCACGGCGAGUACGACUCCAUCAACCCCGUUCAUUGGAACGCUUCCGCUCGCGAUCUACAAGGUUAUGUAGAUGCACUCCUUUCCCCUCGUUGCUAGUAUACUCCAUAGAUGGAUCUUGGUGAUGCGUAGGAAAUUUUAAAAUUCUGCUACGAUCCCCAACAGUGGCAUCAUGAGCCAGGCCUAUGCGUAGUUACUAUGCACGAGUAGAACACAAAGCAGUUGUGGGCGUAGAUGUUGCCAAUUCUUCUUGCCGCUACUAGUCUUAUCUUGUUUCGGAGGUAUUGUGGGAUGAAGCGGCCCGGACCGACCUUACACGUACGCUUACGUGAGACAGGUUCCACCGACUGACAUGCACUAGUUGCAUAAGGUGGCUAGCGGGUGUCUGUCUCUCCCACUUUAGUCGGAACGGAUUCGAUGAAAAGGGUCCUUAUGAAGGGUAAAUAGAAAUUGGCAUAUCACGUUGUGGUUUUACGUAGGUAAGAAACGUUCUUGCUAGAAACCUAUACAAGCCACGUAAAACUUGCAACAACAAUUAGAGGACGUCUAACUUGUUUUUGCAGCAUGUGCCUUGUGAUGUGAUAUGGCCAGAGGAUGUGAUGAAUGAUAUAUGUGAUGUAUGAGAUUGAUCAUAUUCUUGUAAUAGGAAUCACGACUUGCAUGUCGAUGAGUAUGACAACCGGCAGGAGCCAUAGGAGUUGUCUUUAUUUUUUGUAUGACCUGCGUGUCAUUGAAUAACGCGAUGUAAAUUACUUUACUUUAUUGCUAAACGCAUUAGCCAUGGAAGUAGAAGUAAUCGUUGGCGUGACAACUUCAUGAAGACACAAUGAUGGAGAUCAUGAUGAUGGAGAUCAUGGUGUCAUGCCGGUGACGAAGAUGAUCAUGGUGCCCCGAAGAUGGAGAUCAAAGGAGCAAAAUGAUAUUGGCCAUAUCAUGUCACUAUUUGAUUGCAUGUGAUGUUUAUCAUGUUUUGCAUCUUGUUUGCUUAGAACGACGGUAGUAAGUAAGAUGAUCCCUUAUAAUAAUUUCAAGAAAGUGUUCCCCCUAACUGUGCACCGUUGCGAAGGUUCGUUGUUUCGAAGCACCACGUGAUGAUCGGGUGUGAUAGAUUCUAACGUUCGCAUACAACGGGUGUUGACGAGCCUAGCAUGUACAGACAUGGCCUCGGAACACACGCAAUGCACUUAGGUUGACUUGACGAGCCUAGCAUGCACAGACAUGGCCUCGGAACAUGGAGGACCGAAAGGUCGAGCAUGAGUCGUAUAGAAGAUACGAUCAACAUGGAGAUGUUCACCGAUCUUGACUAGUCCGUCUCACGUGAUGAUCGAACACGGCCUAGUUAACUCGGAUCAUGUUUCACUUAGAUGACUAGAGGGAUGUCUAUCUGAGUGGGAGUUCAUUGAAUAAUUUGAUUAGAUGAACUUAAUUAUCAUGAACUUAGUCUAAAAUCUUUACAAUAUGUCUUGUAGAUCAAAUGGCCCACGUUGUCCUCAACUUCAACGCGUUCCUAGAGAAAACCAAGCUGAAAGAUGAUGGCAGCAACUAUACGGACUGGGUCCGGAACCUGAGGAUCAUCCUCAUAGCUGCCAAGAAAGAUUAUGUCCUAGAAGCACCGCUAGGUGAAGCACCAAUCCCAGAGAACCAAGACAUUAUGAACGCUUGGCAAUCACGUGCUGAUGAUUACUCCCUCGUUCAGUGCGGCAUGCUUUACAGCUUAGAACCGGGGCUCCAAAAGCGUUUUGAGAAGCAUGGAGCAUAUGAGAUGUUCGAAGAGCUGAAAAUGGUUUUCCAAGCUCAUGCCCAGGUCGAGAGAUAUGAAGUCUCCGACAAGUUCUUCAGCUGUAAAAUGGAGGAAAAUAGUUCUGUUAGUGAGCACAUACUCAGAAUGUCUGGGUUACACAACCGCUUGUCUCAACUGGGAGUUAAUCUCCCGGAUGACGCGGUCAUUGACAGAAUCCUUCAGUCGCUUCCACCGAGCUACAAGAGCUUUGUGAUGAACUUCAAUAUGCAGGGGAUGGAAAAGACCAUUCCUGAGGUAUAUUCAAUGCUGAAAUCAGCGGAGGUGGAGAUCAGAAAGGAACAUCAAGUGUUGAUGGUGAAUAAAACCACUAAGUUCAAGAAAGGCAAGGGUAAGAAGAACUUCAAAAAGGACGGCAAGGGAGUUGCCGCGCCCGGUAAGCCAGUUGCCGGGAAGAAGUCGAAGAAUGGACCCAAGCCUGAAACUGAGUGCUUUUAUUGCAAGGGAAGUGGUCACUGGAAGCGGAACUGCCCCAAAUACUUAGCGGACAAGAAGGCCGGCAACACCAAAGGUAUAUGUGAUAUACAUGUAAUUGAUGUGUACCUUACCAGUACUCGUAGUAGCUCCUGGGUAUUUGAUACCGGUGCGGUUGCUCAUAUUUGUAACUCAAAACAGGAGCUGCGGAAUAAGCGGAGACUGGCGAAGGACGAGGUGACGAUGCGCGUCGGGAAUGGUUCCAAGGUCGAUGUGAUCGCCGUCGGCACGCUACCUCUGCAUUUACCUACGGGAUUAGUUUUGAACCUCAAUAAUUGUUAUUUAGUGCCAGCUUUGAGCAUGAACAUUGUAUCUGGAUCUCGUUUAAUUCGAGAUGGCUACUCAUUUAAAUCCGAGAAUAAUGGUUGUUCUAUUUAUAUGAGAGAUAUGUUUUAUGGUCAUGCCCCGCUGGUCAAUGGUUUAUUCUUGAUGAAUCUCGAACGUGAUGUUACACAUAUUCAUAGUGUGAAUACCAAAAGAUGUAAAGUUGAUAACGAUAGUCCCACAUACUUGUGGCACUACCGCCUUGGUCACAUUGGUGUCAAGCGCAUGAAGAAGCUCCAUGCAGAUGGACUUUUGGAAUCUCUUGAUUACGAAUCAUUUGACACGUGCGAACCAUGCCUCAUGGGUAAGAUGACCAAGACUCCGUUCUCCGGAACAAUGGAGCGAGCAACCAACUUAUUGGAAAUCAUACAUACCGAUGUGUGCGGUCCAAUGAGUGUUGAGGCUCGCGGAGGAUAUCGUUAUGUUCUCACUCUCACUGAUGACUUAAGUAGAUAUGGGUAUGUCUACCUAAUGAAACACAAGUCUGAAACCUUUGAAAAGUUCAAGGAAUUUCAGAGUGAGGUUGAGAAUCAACGUGACAGGAAAAUAAAGUUCUUACGAUCAGAUCGUGGUGGAGAAUAUUUAAGUCAUGAAUUUGGUACGCACUUAAGGAAAUGUGGAAUCGUUUCACAACUCACGCCGCCUGGAACACCUCAGCGAAACGGUGUGUCCGAACGUCGUAAUCGCACUCUAUUGGAUAUGGUGCGAUCUAUGAUGUCUCUUACCGAUCUACCACUCUCAUUUUGGGGCUAUGCUUUAGAGACUGCCGCAUUCACUUUAAAUAGGGCUCCGUCGAAAUCCGUUGAGACGACACCGUAUGAAUUAUGGUUUGGGAAGAAACCUAAGAUGUCGUUUCUAAAAGUUUGGGGAUGCGAUGCUUAUGUCAAGAAACUUCAACCUGAAAAGCUCGAACCCAAGUCGGAAAAAUGCGUCUUCAUAGGAUACCCUAAGGAAACCAUUGGGUAUACCUUCUACCUCAGAUCCGAAGGCAAGAUCUUUGUUGCCAAGAAUGGGUCCUUUCUGGAGAAAGAGUUUCUCUCGAAAGAAUUGAGUGGGAGGAAAGUGGAACUUGAUGAGGUGAUAGUCACCCCUUCCGAACCGGAAAGUAGCGCAGCGCGGGAAGAUGUUCCUGUGGUGCCUACACCGACUGGGGAGGAAGUUAAUGAUAAUGAUCAUGAAGCUACGGAUCAAGUUACUACUAAACUUCGUAGGUCCACAAGGACACGUUCCGCACCAGAGUGGUACGGCAACCCUGUCCUGGAAAUCAUGUUGUUAGACAACGGUGAACCUUCGAACUAUGAAGAAGCGAUGGCGGGCCCGGAUUCCGACAAAUGGCUAGAAGCCAUGAAAUCCGAGAUAGGAUCCAUGUAUGAAAAGAAGUAUGGACUUUUACUGACUUGCCCGAUGAUCGGCGAGCCAUAGAAAACAAAUGGAUCUUUAAGAAGAAGACAGGCGCGGAUGGUAAUGUGACCAUCUAUAAGGCUCGACUUGUCGCUAAGGGUUAUCGACAAGUUCAAGGGGUUGACUACGAUGAGACUUUCUCACCCGUAGCGAAGCUGAAGUCCGUCCGAAUCAUGUUAGCAAUUGCCGCAUUCUAUGAUUAUGGGAUAUGGCAAAUGGACGUCAAAACGGCAUUCCUUAACGGUUUUCUUAAGGAAGAAUUGUAUAUGAUGCAGCCGGAAGGUUUUGUCGAUCCUAAGAAUGCUAACAAGGUAUGCAAGCUCGAGCGCUCCAUCUAUGGACUGGUGCAAGCAUCUCGGAGUUGGAACAUUCGUUUUGAUGAGAUGAUCAAAGCGUUUGGGUUUACACAGACUUAUGGAGAAGCCUGUGUUUACAAGAAAGUGAGUGGGAGCUCUGUAGCAUUUCUCUUAUUAUAUGUGGAUGACAUACUAUUGAUGGGAAAUGAUGUAGAAUUCUUGGAAAGUAUAAAGGCCUAUUUGAAUAAGUGUUUUUCAAUGAAGGACCUUGGAGAAGCUGCUUAUAUAUUAGGCAUCAAGAUCUAUAGAGAUAGAUCAAGGCGCCUCGUUGGUCUUUCAUAGAGUACGUACCUUGACAAGAUAUUGAAGAAGUUCAAUAUGGAUCAGUCCAAGAAGGGGUUCUUGCCUGUAUUGCAAGGUGUGCAAUUGAGCACGGCUCAAUGCCCGACCACGACAGAAGAUAGAGAAAAGAUGAGGGUCAUCCCCUAUGCCUCGGCCAUAGGGUCUAUUAUGUAUGCCAUGCUGUGUACCAGACCUGAUGUAAACCUUGCCGUAAGUUUGGUAGGGAGGUACCAAAGUAAUCCCGGCAUGGAACACUGGACAGCGGUCAAGAAUAUCCUGAAGUACCUGAAGAGGACUAAGGAUAUGUUUCUCGUUUAUGGAGGUGACGAAGAGCUCGUCGUAAAGGGUUACGUCGACGCUAGCUUCGACACAGAUCUGGAUGACUCGAAGUCACAAACCGGAUACGUGUAUAUUUUGAAUGGAGGAGCAGUAAGCUGGUGCAGUUGCAAGCAAAGCGUCGUGGCGGGAUCUACAUGUGAAGCAGAGUACAUGGCAGCCUCAGAGGCAGCGCAAGAAGCAAUCUGGAUGAAGGAGUUCAUUACCGACCUAGGGGUGAUUCCCAAUGCGUCGGCCCCGAUGACUCUCUUCUAUGACAACACUGGAGCUAUUGCCCUUGCCAAGGAGCCCAGGUUUCACAGGAAGACCAGGCAUAUCAAGCGUCGCUUCAACUCCAUUCGUGAAAGUGUUCAAAAUGGAGACAUAGAUAUUUGUAAAGUACAUACGGACCUGAAUGUAGCAGAUCCGUUGACUAAACCUCUCCCUAGAGCAAAACAUGAUCAACACCAGAACGCUAUGGGUGUUCGAUUCAUCACAAUGUAACUAGAUUAUUGACUCUAGUGCAAGUGGGAGACUGUUGGAAAUAUGCCCUAGAGGCAAUAAUAAAUGGUUAUUAUUAUAUUUCUUUGUUCAUGAUAAUUGUCUAUUGUUCAUGCUAUAAUUGUGUUAUCCGGAAAUCGUAAUACACGUGUGAAUAUAUAGACCACAACGUGUCCCUAGUAAGCGUCUAGUUGACUAGCUCGUUGAUCAACAGAUAGUCAUGGUUUCCUGACUAUGGACAUUGGAUGUCAUUGAUAACGGGAUCACAUCAUUAGGAGAAUGAUGUGAUGGACAAGACCCAAUCCUAAGCAUAGCAUAAAAGAACGUGUAGUUCGUUUGCUAGAGCUUUUCCAAUGUCAAGUAUCUUUUCCUUAGACCAUGAGAUCGUGUAACUCCCGGAUACCGUAGGAGUGCUUUGGGUGUGCCAAACGUCACAACGUAACUGGGUGACUAUAAAGGUACACUACGGGUAUCUCUGAAAGUGUCUGUUGGGUUGACACGGAUCGAGACUGGGAUUUGUCACUCCGUAUGACGGAGAGGUAUCUCUGGGCCCACUCGGUAAUGCAUCAUCAUAAUGAGCUCAAUGUGACUAAGGAGUUAGCCACGGGAUCAUGCAUUACGGUACGAGUAAAGAGACUUGCCGGUAACGAGAUUGAACAAGGUAUUGGGAUACCGACGAUCGAAUCUCGGGCAACUAACAUACCGAUUGACAAAGGGAAUUGUAUACGGGAUUGAUUGAAUCCUCGACAUCGUGGUUCAUCCGAUGAGAUCAUCGUGGAACAUGUGGGAGCCAACAUGGGUAUCCAGAUCCCGCUGUUGGUUAUUGACCGGAGAGGCGUCUCGGUCAUGUCUGCAUGUCUCCCGAACCCGUAGGGUCUACACACUUAAGGUUCGGUGACGCUAGGGUUGUAGAGAUAUUAGUAUGCGGAAACCCGAAAGUUGUUCGGAGUCCCGGAUGAGAUCCCAGACGUCACGAGGAGUUCCGGAAUGGUCCGGAGGUGAAGAAUUAUAUAUAGGAAGUCCAGUUUCGGCCACCGGGAAAGUUUCGGGGGUUAUCGGUAUUGUACCGGGACCACCGGAAGGGUCCCGGGGGUCCACCGGGUGGGGCCACCUAUCCCGGAGGGCCCCAUGGGCUGAAGUGGGAAGGGAACCAGCCCUUAGUGGGCUGGGGCGCCCCCCUUGGGCCUCCCCCUGCGCCUAGGGUUGGAAACCCUAGGGGUGGGGGCGCCCCACUUGGCUUGGGGGGGAAGCCACCCCCCUUCCCCCUUGGCCGCCGCCCCCCUUGGAGAUCUGAUCUCCCAGGGCCGGCGCCCCCCCCAGGGGGCCUAUAUAUAGUGGGGGGAGGGAGGGUAGCAGCACCACAGCCCCUGGUGCCUCCCUCUCCCCCUGCAACACCUCUCCCUCUCGCAGAAGCUUGGCGAAGCCCUGCCGAGAUCCCCGCUACUUCCACCACCACGCCGUCGUGCUGCUGGAUCUCCAUCAACCUCUCCUUCCCCCUUGCUGGAUCAAGAAGGAGGAGACGUCGCUGCUCCGUACGUGUGUUGAACGCGGAGGUGUCGUCCGUUCGGCACUUGGUCAUCGGUUAUUUGGAUCACGGCGAGUACGACUCCAUCAACCCCGUUCAUUGGAACGCUUCCGCCCGCGAUCUACAAGGGUAUGUAGAUGCACUCCUUUCCCCUCGUUGCUAGUAUACUCCAUAGAUGGAUCUUGGUGAUGCGUAGGAAAUUUUAAAAUUCUGCUACGAUCCCCAACACCGAGUCACCGAAACACUUAACCCGGCUUAAAUUCAUCUCCUUAGCCAUUCGAAGACCAUGGAGUAGAGCUUCAUACUCAGCUGCAUUGUUAGUACAAGGGAACAUUAAACGGAGAACAUAACAAAACUUAUCACCUCGUGGGGAAGUUAAUACGACUCCAGCCCCCGAGCCCUCCAAUUGCCUGGACCCAUCAAAAUGAAUAGUCCAAUAAGUAUGAUCCGGCUUCUCUUCUGGCGCUUGUAACUCUGUCCAGUCAUUGAUGAAAUCCACCAACGCUUGGGACUUGAUUACCGUCCGAGGCAUAUAUUUUAACCCAUGAGGUCCAAGCUCAAUGGCCCACUUGGCAACCCGGCCAGUUGCUUCCCUGUUUUGGAUUAUAUCCCCCAAAGGAGCAGAACUGAUCACAGUGAUGGGAUGACCCAGAAAAUAUUCCUUAAGCUUCCGGCUCGCCAUAAAAACUCCAUACACCAGCUUCUGCCAAUGUGGGUACCUCUGCUUGGACUCAAUAAGCACCUCACUGAUAUAAUAAACCGGACGUUGAACCGGAUACUCAUUUCCGGCCUCCUUGCGCUCCACCACAAUAGCCACGCUAACAGCCCGGGCGUUAGCAGCCACAUAUAACAACAAGGGCUCCUUGUCAACCGGAGCAGCAAGGACAUGCGGCUCAGCUAGUUGUCGCUUUAGAUCUUCAAAUGCUUCAUUGGCGGCAUCACUCCAAAUGAAGUCAUCCGUCUUUUUCAGCAUCUGAUAUAAAGGGAUGGCCUUCUCUCCAAGGCGACUGAUGAACCGGCUUAAGGCUGCAAUCCGGCCUGCCAGGCGUUGAACAUCAUUGAUACACCUUGGUUUAGCUAAAGAAGUUAUAGCCUUGAUUUUCUCCGGAUUAGUUUCAAUGCCCCUGUUAGACACCAAAAAGCCCAAGAGCUUGCCUGCCGACACCCCAAAGACACAUUUGGCCGAAUUAAGCAUCAUUUUAUAAACCCGGAGGUUAUCAAAGGUCUCCUUCAAGUCAUCUAUCAAUGUCUCCUCCUUCCUGAAUUUCACCACAAUAUCAUCCACAUAGGCAUGAACAUUGCGGCCGAUCUGAUUAUGAAGACAAUUCUGCACACACGCUGAUAAGUCGCCUGGGCACUCUUGAGCCCAAAAGGCAUAGACACAUCACAGAAGGCUCCAAAGGGAGUUAUGAAAGCUGUCUUCUCCUGGUCCUUAACUGCCAUUUUGAUCUGAUGGUAACCAGAAUAAGCAUCCAGAAAACUCAAAUGCUCGCAACCCUCCGUAGCAUCAAUGAUUUGAUCAAUAUGAGGGAGGGCAAAAGGAUCCGCUGGACAAGCCUCGUUUAAAUCUGUGUAGUCCACACACAUACGCCAAGUGCCGUUCUUCUUAAGUACCAGCACCGGAUUAGCCAACCACUCAGGAUGAAAUACUUCAAUGAUAAACCCAGCUGCCAAGAACCUGGCUACCUCCUCACCAAUAGCCUUGCGUCUUUCUUCAUUGAACCGGCGGAGAAACUGUUUGACCGGUUUAAAUUAACUUGGGAUCAACAUUAAGAGUGUGCUCAGCGAGUUCCCUCGGUACACCUGGCAUGUCAGAAGGCUUCCACGCAAAGAUGUCCCGGUUCUCACGGAUGAACUUGAUGAGCGCGCUUUCCUAUUUCGGAUCCAAGUUAGCGCUGAUGCUAAACUGCUAGGAUGAAUCGCCAGGAACAAAAUCAACCAGCUUAGUCUCAUCAGCCGAUUUAAACUUCAAGGCCGGAUCAUGCUCUGUAGUUGGCUUCUUCAAGGAAGUCAUAUCUGCCGGAUCAACAUUGUCUUUAUAGAACUUCAACUCCUCUGUUGCACAAACCGACUCAGCAUAAGCUGCAUCACCAUCUUCACAUUCCAAAGUGAUCUUAUGACUCCCAUGUACCGUGAUGGUCCCCUUAUGACCUGGCAUCUUGAGCUGCAUAUAGACAUAACAGGGCCUAGCCAUGAACUUAGCAUAAGCCGGCCGACCAAAUAGGGCAUGAUACGGGCUCUUGAUUUUCACCACUUCAAAAGUCAAUAUCUCUGAUCUUGAAUCAUGCUCAUCUCCAAAAGCAACCUCCAGAGCUAUCUUACCAACUGGAUACGCCGAUUUACCAGGCACCACACCAUGAAGACCGUGUUGGACGGUUUAAGAUUUUUAUCUAUUAACCCCAUGCGACGGAAGGUUUCAUAAUAAAGGAUAUUGAUACUACUCCCUCCAUCCAUGAGUAAUUUGGUGAACUUAUAGCCUCCAACCUGUGGUGCCACCACCAAUGCCAGAUGACCCGGAUUAUCAACCCGGGGCGGAUGAUCCUCUCGACUCCACACGAUGGGUUGUUCAGACCAGCGCAAGUAACGGGGCACCGCCGGUUCAACGGAGUUCACUACCCUUUUGUGUAGCUUCUGAUCACGUUUGCAUAGGCUCGUGGUGAAGACAUGGUACUGCCCGCUAUUCAGUUGCUUCGGGUUGCUCUGGUAACCCGACUGCUGCUGCUGUUGCUGAUUUCCCUGAUGAUUAUAACCACCUUGGUUGCCCUGACUGCCUUGAUUGCCAUGUCCGCCUUGACUACCUUGAAAUCCUGAACCGGAACUACCUCCACCAUAACCCGGCCCAUGAUAUCCGGGGCCUGAACCGCCGGCCGGUCCAUGAUCAUACCAAAAAAAUCUGAAUUUUUGAACUCCCGCAUAAUAUAACAAUCCUUCCACAGGUGCGUGGCCGGUUUGUCCCGACCCGUGCUUUGGGCAAGGUUGGUUUAACAGGUAAGACAGUCGCUCGGGAUUGGGACUCGAUGCUCCACCACGCGGGGGCGGUUUACCCUUACGACGCUGACCGUUAUCCUGCGUGUUGGUAUUAGCCACAAAAUCUAAACUAUUAGCCGCUUUACGCUUACCGCUGUUUCCAUGACCUGCCGGGUUAUGCUGCUGCCCUUUCGUGUUGCCGCUCUUCUUUCCCUUCCCUGUCUUGUCAUCAUCAAACUCGGGGUCCUUGGAACUAUGCUUGCUAAUUAUACUUUUAAGGAUGGAGUAUGAUACGUCUCCAAUGUAUCUAUAAAUUUUGAUUGUUCCAUGUUGUUAUAUUAUCAAUCUGGGAUGUUUUAUAAUCAUUUUAUAGUCAUUUUUUGGUACUAACCUAUUGACAUAGUGCCAAGUGCAAGUUGAUGUUUUCUGCAUGUUUUUUACAUCGCAGGAAACCAAUACCAAAUGGAGUCCAAACACAGCAAAACUUUUUGGAGAUUUUUUUGGACCAGAAGACAUCCAGUGGGCCGAAGAAGCACCUGGGGGUGCUCCGAGGGGAGCACAACCCACCAGAGCGCGCCUGGGGGCCCAGGCGCGCCCAGGUGGGUUGUGCCCACCUCGGGUGCCCCCCGAACCGCCUCUUUGCUCUAUAAAUACCCCAAUAUUCCACAAACCCUAGGGGAGUCGACGAAAAUCAAUUCCAGCCGCCGCAGAGUCCAGAACCACCAGAUCCAAUCUAGACACCAACACGGAGGGGUUCGGCACUUCCAUUGAUGCCUCUCCGAUGAUGCGUGAGUAGUUCUUUGUAGACCUACGGAUCCAUAGUUAGUAGCUAGAUGGCUUCCUCUCUCUCUUUUGAUUAUCAAUACAAUAGUCUCUUGGAGAUCCAUAUGAUGUAACUCUUUUUGCGGUGUGUUUGUUCGGAUCAGAUGAACUUUGAGUUUAUGAUCAGAUCUAUCUUUUUAUCCAUGAAAGUUAUUUGAGUCUUCUUUGAUCUAUUAUAUGCAUGAUUUCUUAUAGCCUCGUAUUUCUUCUCCGAUAUUUGGGUUUUGUUUGGCCAACUAGAUCUAUUUAUCUUGCAAUGGGAAGAGGUGCUUUGUAGUGGGUUCGAUCUUAUGGUGCUUGAUCGCAGUGACAGAAGGGGAUCCGACACGUAUGUAUCAUUGCUACUAAGGAUAAAACGAUGGGGUAUAUUUCUACAUAAAUAGAUCUUGUCUACAUCAUGUCAUCGUUCUUAUUGCAUUACUCCAUUUCUCCAUGAACUUAAUACACUAGAUGCAUGCUGGAUAGCGGUCGAUGUGUGGAGUAAUAGUAGUAGAUGCAGGCAGGAGUUGGUCUACUAAUCUUGGACGUGAUGCCUAUAUAAUGAUCAUUGCCUGUAUAUCGUCAUGAUUAUUUAAAGUUCUAUCAAUUGCCCAACAGUAAUUUGUUCACCCACCGUUGUUAUUUUUCUCGAGAGAAGCCACCAGUGAAACCUACGGCCCCCGGGUCUCUUCUUUAAUAUAUUUGCCUUUGCGAUCUAUUUUCCUUUGCUUUUAUUUUUAUAUCUAUUAAACCAAAAAUACAAAAAUACCUUGCUGCACUUUAUUUUAUUUGGCGUUCGAUCUAUCAAUAUUUAUUACUCUCUCACGUCCGUUUGCCUAUCUCUAGGCGCCGUUACCCGAAAGGGAUUGACAACCCCUUUUACACGUCGGGUUGCGAGUAUUUGUUAUUUGUGUGCAGGUGUUGUUUACAUUGUGUUGCUUGGUUUUCCUACUGGUUCGAUAACCUUGGUCUCAUCACUAAGUGUCGUGGUUUUGUCAUGGCAGAUGUCCUAGUGAGAGGACUUAGUCAUGGAUCCAUCGCGACGGGUUAGCUUAAAGGGGUUAAAGCGGACAAAGGACGCAGAGAGUUUUAUACUGGUUCGGCCCCUUGCGGUGAAGGUAAAGGCCUAAUCCAGUUGUUGUGGAAUUGCUAGGGUUUUGACGACCAAGGAGCGAACCCGCUAUGCCUGGCUCUCAAGUUGUUGUUUCUUGUCCCUAAAUCGCCGCCGGGUCGUCCCUUUAUAUACACAGGUUGACGCCCGGCGGUUUACAGAAUCCCGAGCCGGCUCAUAAACGUGUCCGGCUCGGUUUCUACCUUUCUUAUCUUACAACACAAGUUACAUAUGAUAUGGCGGUUUAUGUCUACAGGCCAUAACCCGCCUCUGGGCCCUGGGCCUUUGUAAAGCGCCACACUCCUUGUCUUCAUGGGCUUCAAAUAUAAAUAACUCAUUAUGGGGAUAACCCGGCCUCUCCUGGCCAGUUUAUACCCAGUAGUAAUAUCCCCAACACUAAGGGAAAUGCCUACCGCUGUUGUGAUGCAUCAUCCCUUCCUCUUUGGGGAAAUACCGACGUAGCUUCAAGCCGCAUCAGAGUACCUAAAAAACUUGGAGAUCCGGGAAUACCAACUAUACCUUGCUCCAUCACAAAGAACUGUGUGAAACUGCUUUAUGUGAUUUAGGAGUUGAUGCUAGUGUUAUGCCUUUCUCUUUAUAUAAAAGACUUGAUUUGAAUAAAAUCACACCUACUGAAAUAUCUUUGCAAAUGGUUGACAAAUCAACUGACAUACCUAUCGGUAUUUGUGAGGAUGUGCCCGUUGUUGUUGCUAAUGUUACUAUUUUGACUGACUUUGUUAUACUUGAGAUGCCCGAGGACGACAACAUGUCGAUUAUCCUUAGUAGACCCUUCUUGAACACUGCAGGGGCUAUUAUUGAUUGCAAUAAAAGCAAGGUCACUUUUCAUAUCAAUGGUAAUGAGCAUACGGUGCACUUUCCGAAGAAACAAUUCAAAGUGAAUGGUAUUAUUGUUAUUGAAAAAUCUUCGACAAUCACUAUUGCAAGUUUUCACCUACCUCUACCUACUGUCAAAAAGAAAUAUGAAAUGCUUAUUGUCGGGGACAUUCAUAUCCCCGUUGAGGUAACUUAGUGAUUUACGAAAGUUCUUCGGUUUCAUGCUAAUCAAAAGUGGUUGUUAAUAAGACUUGAUCAACCUUAUUAAUGGAUCAUUUUUGAGAGGUAUGAAGUUGAUGAAUUUAGUAAGCACUACCUUCUGUUCCUACCUUUUGUUUACUGUUUUUAUUAGUUAAAUAAAAUAAAAUGCCAUGUUUUGUCUGUUUCCUGAAUUUCCCGUGCAAUAAAAAUGACCAAAAAAUAAAAGUUCUCAGAAUGCUCUGAAAAUUUAAUACAAUUUUUUCUGAAUAUUUAAGAAUUUCUAGUGCAAAUAAUAUCAGAGGGAGGUGCACCAGGUGGGCACAACCCACCUGGGCGCGCCAGGACCCCCAGGCGCGCCCUGGUGGGUUGUGGUCCCCACGUGGCCCCCCUCACUUAUCCCUUUACACCACAUCAUCAGCUACCUCCAGAAAAAAUUCACCUUUGCUCUCUCUCUCUCUCUCUCUCUCUCUCGUGUUCUUGCUCUCAAACCCGCGGAUUUUGAUCUCUUUGCUCGAAGCCCCGUUUCAGAAACUGUUUUGGGGGAUUGUUGCUUGGUAUGUGACCCCACCGUUUGUCCAAUUAUUUUUGUUUUAGUGGUUUAUAUUUUGAAUAAUUAGCUACUCUUGGUGCUGUCGUAGAUGAGCUUGCAUGUUGAAUUCUUAGAGUCCUAAGUAGUUUGAAUGCUUGCUAUGGCCUCUAUGCAUCCCUAUGAGUAGUUGCUAUCAAUCUUGUGAAGUUUUGUUAAGAAAAAAUUGUGGACUAAAAAAUUUCAGAAUCUUUGUUCAUAGGAAAGGAUGAAUAUCUUUAGGAAAUUUUCUUCCAAGAAGAACUCCAAGGGAGUUAUUGGGGAGUCAUCUGAUAGUGAUCUCCACCCCCGGAGAUUGGCGGAGGUACGGCCAUGCGAAUGGCCGCAUACCCCGUUCAUGGAAGAGGCUGGAAUCCUUCAAGAGUUUGCACAAUAUGCUACUAAUGCCGGCCUCACCGACUUCAUCGCAGCUGAAGUGAACAGUAUCAUCUCCUCACAAACAUCUUUGUUCAAAGUUUUAAUUACCUUCCUGGGAAUAAUCCCCCUGAAGUGCAGUUUAAUUUAUAUGCUGAACCCCAUCAGAUGCCACUUACUGAAUUUUGUGAAAUAUGCUUGCUUCCUUCUGAUGGUAGUUUAGCAGAGCCAAGACCCGCAGAGUUUGAAAGCUUUUAUUGUACUCGGACAGUGGGUGAUGAGAGAGGGGUGUUGAGUAUAACUGCCGCUGGCUUGCAUUUCCCCGCCGUUCAUUAUUUUGCUCUUUUCAUUUCACAAUGCUUGCUCGCUAGAGAGAAGGUGGGUGCACUGAGUUCACCAGACCUUACUGUUUUACGUCAUGCACUAGAGGGCGACAACACUUAUAGCUUGGGAGCUAUUGUGGCACGUCGCCUCCACAUUAAUAAGUCCAAGGGUAAAAUACAUGGUGGUAUUUUCGCUACUCGCUUGGCGGCUCGCUUUAAUGUUGAGAUACGCCUUCGUGAUUAUCCUUUGACCAAGGUCUACCUUGAUCGCGCAGCUAUGGAACACCACCAUUUUAUUGCACGAGAUUUCCCUAACAUUCCUAUUCCGUAUAACUUGGUUUUUAGUGUGAGAGCACUCGUGAUAUUAUCCCAUUGCCUGCACCUGCUUUGUUUGAUCCUGUUGCCAGGGGCGGAUAUAGGAUUAUGCCUGCAGAUACCAUCGCCUACCGGAACGACCAGGCUGCAGCAGAGGAGGAGCCUCAGCAGUGGGAUCCAUGGAUGCCCGCUCCUCAGCACCCCGACUACUAUCCAGGCUACUGAUCGAUUACCAAGUUAGGCCAAAAGCCUAAGCUUGGGGGGGGGGGUACGUGUUUCUCACCGACAUUACAUUCAUGUCCACAAAUUCCAUUCCAGUUGUCGGUGUCCAUACUUUUUCAUUAUAUUAUCUAUGCUUUUAUUUUCUCGCUUUCUUCUUGUGUCUUUGAAAAACCUUAGAAAAACUAAAAAAUUUAGUUGUAGUUAGUUUACUUUCGAUGCAUGCUUAGUUGUAAUAUUAAGAAGAAAACCCAAAAAGAUCUCCUUGUUCUUCUUUUGCUUGUUGGGAGCUUUCCUGUGUAAAUAGUUUUUCUCGUUUUUGCUUUCCCUUUAUUUGCUUGUUCUAGAAAACCAAAAACUCCAAAAAUAUUUCGGUGUGUUUCUCUUAGUGUCUUUUUUUAUUCGAGUCGUACCAAGGAGAAGACCACAAUGAAAAUGUUGAGUGGCUCUCAUUUGCAUAAUUGUUGAUCUAACAAAGAGCCCAUUUUACCUUGUCUUCUCCUGUUCAAUAAAUUGUUUACAGAUUCCAGCUUAGUCCACGAGACUCUUGCAUUAUUAUUAUUUUCAUAUCGUUCGGUCAUGCAAGUGAAAGGCAAUAAUGACGAUAUUCGAUGAACUGGCCGUGGCAGAGAGAAACGAGUAGGAACUCGACUUGUUCUGUUUUUGUAAAUAUGUUUAACCUAGUAUCCAUGAUUCAGCCCAUUAUGAUUAAACAUGUUUGCAGUGACAAUUAGAGAUUAUAGUCUCUCAUGCCAUGCAUAAGUAGCUAGGAGUGGAUAAUGAUUUAUCUUGGAUAUCAACAUUGCGUUAAAAUGAUUGUGAUGUAGUAUGAUGAUAUGGUAUCCUCCUCUGAAUGUUCGAGUGGCUUGACUUGCACAUGUUCAUGCAUGUAGUUGAAUCAAAACCAACAUAGCCUCUAUGAUAUUUAUGUUCAUGGUGUUCAUAUCCUACUCAUGCUAGUGUCCAAUGUUACUUAUGCAUAAUGCAUGUUCAUGACCGUUGUUGCUCUCUAGCUGGCCGCUUCUCAACCUAUUUGCUACCCUUCGCCUGUACUAAGUGGGAAUUCUGCUUGUACAUCCCAAACCUUGAACCAAGUUAUUCCAGAUGAGUCCACCAUACCUACCUACAUGCAGUAUUACCCUGCCGUCCUAAGUAAAUUUGCAUGUGCCACCUAUAAAAAAUUCAAAUAAAUAUCCUUUUUGUGUGCCUGGAUCGUUCAUGGAACGACAGGAGGUGGUCGGUAUCUUCCAUGCUAAGCGGGUUAUUCUCAGGUCGAGUGUUUAUUCACUUGCCAUCGCACGAGAAAAGGGAGGUAUAUGGAUUCCCAGUCCCAAACUCAAAAAUGCAAAUAAUUAAACAAAACUCCCCGGGACUGUUGUUGGUAUAUAUGGACGGCACCCGUUGUUUUGGACAAGCCGUGGAGUGUGAUUGAUGGUGGAGGGGGAGUAAACCUUUACUUUUAUUGCUUGGGAACCGCCACUAGCGUUCUUAGCAUGGGAGAUAUUGAUAACUGAUAGUCGUGAAGUAAAUGAGAAGGGUGCAUGUCUCAAAAUAUUAUUUACCACUGUUUUAAAAACUUGAGCUCUUGCACCUCUGCAAAUCACUGCUUCCCUCUGUGAAGGGACUAUCUAUUUACUUUUAUGUUGUGUCAUCACCCUUUAAAAUAGGCGCCAGAACCUGAGAGCACUGCUGUCAUGCUGAUGCAUUGUGUGUAGCUAAUGUUGGGUGCAUCAUGACUGGAUCUUUUCUACCAUGAAUUACAAUGUUUAGUCGCUGCUUGAACUUUGGAGGUGCUCUGCAUUUAUGUUUUGCGGUCUAAGAAAGGGCUAGCGAGAUACUACUAUUGUCAUACUAUAUCAUGGUUGUUUUGAUAAUGUGUUGCCGUUUGAGAUAUCUUAUUAUUGCUCGCCAGCUGAUUACGUCAUUGAUAUGAGUUAAUAUAAUCUUUAAGAGUUAUUGUCGGUAUGGUUAGUUAUAAUGUUGGCUGAAAAUCUGGGUGUCGUUUAAGCUUAUUUAUGCAAACAAGAGCAAACGAGUUCAUAAAAGUUUUUCUUUUUCACUUUCAGUUUAUCAACUAAAUUGCUUGAGGACAAGCAAAGGUUUAAGCUUGGGGGAGUUGAUACGUCUCCAACGUAUCUACUUUUCCUAACGCUUUUCCUCUUGUUUUGGACUCUAAUUUGCAUGAUUUGAAUGAAACUAACCCCGUACUGGCGCUGUUUUCAGCAGAACUACCAUGGUGUUGUUUUUGUGCAGAAAUAAAAGUUCUCGGAAUGGAACGAAACUUUGCGAGGAUUUUUUAUACAAUAAAAGAGAAUUUCUGGAGCCAAGAGCCACCGGAGGGGGGCACCUAGGUGGGCACAACCCACCAGGGCGCGCCAGCCCUCCCAGGCGCGCCCAGGUGGGUUGUCCCCACCUGGUGGCCCCACAGACCCUCAAACCGACGCUAAAUAUCCUAUUUUUCUAGAAAAAAAUCAGGGAGAAAGAAUUAUCGCGAUCCAUGAGACGGAGCCGCCAUCACCUCAUGUUCUUCAUCAGGAGGCCAGAUCUGGAGUCUGUUUGGGGCUCCGGAGAGGGGGGUCUUCGUUCUUCGUCAUCACCAACCCUUCUCCAUCGCCAAUUCCAUGAUGCUCCCCACUGAGAGUGAGUAAUUCCUUCGUAGGCUCGCUGGUCGGUGUGGAGUUGGAUGAGAUUCAUCAUGUAAUCGAGUUAGUUUUGUUAGGGCUUGAUCCCUAGUAUCCACUAUGUUCUGAGAUUGAUGUUGCUAUGACUUUGCCAUGCUUAAUGCUUGUCACUUUGAGCCCGGGUGCCAUGAUUUCAUAUCUGAACCGUUUAUGUUAUCACCAUUAUAUCCAUGUUCUAGAUCCGAUCUUGCAGGUUAUAGUCACCUACUACGUGAUCCUGCAACCCCGGAGUGACAAUAGUCGGGACCACUCCCGGUGAUGAACGUAGUUUGAGGAGUUCAUGUAUUCACCGUGUGUCAAUGAUUUGUUCCGGUUCUCUAUUAAAAGGAGGCCUUAAUAUCCCUUAGUUUCCAAUAUGGACCCCGCUGCCACGGAAGGGCAGGACAAAAGAUGUCAUGCAAGUUCUUUCCAUAAGCAUGUAUGACUAUUUACGAAAUACAUGCCUAUAUUGUAUUUAUGAACUGGGGCUAGUGUCGUAUCGCCCUAGGUUAUGACUAUCACAUGAUGAAUAUCAUCGAACAAAUUACUGAUCCAAUGCCUACGAAUUUAUCUUAUAUUGUUUUUGCUAAGUUACUACUGCUGCUGUCACUGUUGCACUUGCUACAAAAUUACUGCUAUCACUGUUACCGUUACCAUUACUGUUGUCACUAUUAUCAAAUCUAUCAAACUACUUUGCUACUGAUCACUUUGAUGCAGAUAAUUAAUCUUCAGGUGUGGUUGAAUUGACAACUCUGUUGCUAAUACUUACAAAUAUUCUUUGGCUCCCCUUUUGUCGAAUCUAUAAAUUUGGUUUGAAUACUCUACCCUCGAAAACUAUUGUGAUCCCCUAUACUUGUGGGUUAUCAGUUAUAACAUAGGGUGACACAGAACUAGCUCCAGUUCAUCAAUAUAAUGCAGGCAUGUAUUUCGAAUAUAGUCACACGUGCUUAUGGAAAAGAACUUGCAUGACAUCUUUUGUCCUACCCUCCUGUGGCAGCGGGGUCCUAUUGGAAACUAAGGGAUAUUAAGGCCUCCUUUUAAUAGAGUACCGGACCAAAGCAUUAGCACUUAGUGAAUACAUGAACUCCUCAAACUACGAUCAUCACCGGGAGUGGUCCCGACUAUUGUCACUCCGGGGUUGCCGGAUCAUAACACGUAGUAGGUGACUAUUGACUUGCAAGAUAGGAUCAAGAACACAAAUAUAUUCAUGAAAACAUAAUAGGUUCAGAUCUGAAAUCAUGGCACACGGGCCCUAGUGACAAGCAUUAAGCAUAGCAAAGUCAUAGCAACAUCAAUCUUAGAACAUAGUGGAUACUAGGGAUCAAACCCUAACAAAACUAACUCGAUUACAUGGUAAAUCUCAUCCAACCCAUCACGGUCCAGCAAGCCUACGAUGGGAUUACUCACGCACGGCGGUGAGCAUCAUGAAAUUGGUGAUGGAGGAUGGUUGAUGAUGACGAUGGCGACGGAUUUCCCUCUCCGGAGCCCCGAACGGUCCCCAGAUCUGCCCUCCCAAGGAAGAACAGGGCUUGGCGGCGGCUCCGUAUCGUAAAACGCGAUGAAUCCUUCUCUCUGAUUUUUUUUCUCCCCGAACGUGAAUAUAUGGAGUUGGAGUUGAGGUCGGUGGAGGUCCAGGGGGCCCACAAAGUCGGAAUGCGCGCCCCCACCCUUGUGGCCAGGGUGUGGGCCCCUUUCUGUUGAUUCUUUCGCCAAUAUUUUUUAUAUUUUCCAGAAAUAAUCUCCGUUGAUUUUCAGGUCAUUCCGAGAACUUUUAUUUCUGCACAAAAAUAACACCAUGUCAAUUCUGCUGAAAACAGCGUCAGUCCGGGUUAGUUCCAUUCAAAUCAUACAAGUUAGAGUCCAAAACAAGGGCAAAAGAGUUUGGAAAAGUAGAUACGAUGGAGACGUAUCAUCGGUACUCUGGCGGAGAUCCUCCAUCCCCCACUGGAGCCCUCGCCGCGUCGCCGGCCAUCCACGUGAAAAAUCGACGACAAAUCUGGGUGGGAUCCAGAUCCACGGCCGCUGCCAUGCCCACCAUCGCGAGCAGCACCAACCAUGGGGUCGUCUGUUGCUGCCGCACGGCCAGGGAGCCCCCUAGCUAGCCUACGAUGUUGACCGCGAGUAGUAUUUAGGAGCGUGAGGAUAUCGACCAUGGAAUUAGGGUUCAGUUGCAGCCAAAGCAAUCACGAGCACAACUCCAAAGAAAUUUGGUCGCGACACAUUGAAAUAGUGCGGCGCACCACAAAGAGCGCAACAGUCGUUGCUCCGACUGUGACAUUUUUAAAGGUUUAUAGACGAAGGCAAACGGUCAACGACGCCUGCCAAAGGGAGAUACAAACUCUAGGAGGAACCCGAGAGGCCCAAAGAGCCUUGGCGAACCUGACCUUAGCCCACAUACCAGUUUUGUGUAAGUAGAUUUCGCCGUAAAUUUGCCCAGUGGCUCCAACACCCAGAUGAUCGAGUACUAGUUCGAAGAGAGAGAAACUUAUUGUAAGGACACAUGAAGAGAAUUGAAAUCACUUUGUUCCUCGGGUGGGUGAAAGAGAUCGAAGAAAACCCACUAGCUACCCCUGUAGCAAAAAUGUUGCAUGCCAUAGCCUCAGGAUGAGCCACAAUGUCAAACAAGCUCGGAUGUAAUGCGCAAAGAGGUUUGUUCGCAUUCCACACGGAGAGCCUAAAUUGGUGUCCUUACCGUCUCCGAUAGAGAAUUUCACGCCCAGAUUGAAACUUGCUUUACAUUUUUGGAUCCCAUUCCAAAUUUGCGAGCCUUUGUUACCAAAUGGAUUUAGAAAAUCUCCCAAAAGGACGAUGCUAUGCCACAAAGCAUUGUCUACGAGUAGAAGAAAGAUAUGCCUCAUGAACUUCCAUGACUUCAUGCAAUGUAGUAGCAGAUGCCAUGCCAUCACAAAGCUCUGUCCACACACUAUGAUACACCUGCUAAGAAAGAAGCAAGUUCAAGUUGAGACAGUCAUAGUUUCUUACAAUGAAAUGAGUCAAACCCAUCUCAACUCACUCGGUCCAUGACAUAUUGAUGAAAUGCAUCGACAAAAUGCUGGAGCUUCUGCCUUACUAUUAAGUGUUCUUUAAAAUUAUGCGUCGUGCUGCCUCUGCCUUGCCAAAGAAAAGGGUUGAUACAUCAGAGUGAAGCUCACACGCCGACAAGAUAGAGCAGAUCCAACUAUCCAACAUUAAACACUACGGGGAUUGCAAAAAAUAUGUAGCACGAGAUGAUUUGAUGCCAGCUUACCUUCGACAUCCACUUUCGGGUUUCUUACUUUGCACGCUUGACUAUCAGUAAGAAUCACAUGACCUGGUCCAACAAAAUGACGCAAACUUUAGCUUGCACAUGAUUUGCUUGCCAGUGUGAUCCACCUAACCAAGGAAAGAAAGCACAAACUCAUUAUACAGAUGGACUAACAAGAAAAUAGCAUGUAAGUAUAACUUUUUGGACAUACCUGUUUCUUUGUACAUUUAGAAAGCUGUUUCUUUGUACAUUUAGAAAGUCAUUCUUGUAUAAUACCCACCGGAUGAAGGGGUUUUUUCAAACACGUGCUCUGCAUAAACUUUAGAACUCUUGAUGCGAGUGUACUAUCUUUCUGACAAAGGUAAAAUCUCCGACAACAGGGCCUUUUUCUGAAGGGCAAUGGGGUUAUAGCCUCAUAGCUAAUGCAAAAACAUGAAGGACGAAAAUGAUACUUCUGAAGCAACUCUUACAUUUGCACAAGAAAGAAGAGUUGGAAAUGCAUAGAAGUUCCUCAAGGGUCCUUGUAUCAUCCUCUUGGCGAAUAUUUUCCAAAUCAUCAAACCAAGAACCGAACUUAAAAUCAGUCCCACCUACUCUGGAAAAAGAUUGUCAGGUUGCGUAUCGCCACAGGUGCUAGUUCCAGCAGAUUGGCGAUCGGCAUAUAUAGCUCUCCGCAUGUUAUAAUCAUUCAGUGGAGGAAGGUCAAAAGUUGUAGAGAUAUUCAAAUCGCUCCAAGAAUUUGGAUUCUUCCGCAGCACAUCUCCGCAAAAGCACUGAUGGCUGGAUUUUUCAUAGCAAAAUUGGACUGAAAGGCAUUUCUACUGCAUCGGAAGAUACAUGUUGCAGGUACCCACGAACAAAUAUUGGGUCCUUCGUAACAUCAUCUCCGCGGCCCGGAUUUGUACCCUCCGGUUGUGGAUGCUAUCACACCGUGGUUUCCUCCAAUCGUUGGUCGUGCUGCUGAGCGCAACAGACCGGCCCAAGGAAACCUGGCGGGCGACCGUCGCAGGGGCUGCACCACGACAGUACUGUCCUCGCUGGUCGACGGCCACCCACCGGUCCACGCAUUCAGUCUGCCGGCCGCACCGCACUGUCCAUCCCGGCGAGCCGUUGGAGUCGUUGGACCUUCCCAACCCUCCUCUCCGCUCUCUCCCGCCUGCUUUCUCAAAGAUAUAAAAAAGAGCGCGCGAAACUUCACACGUGCCCCGCCGACGUGUGGGCCAAGAAGGUACGCGCCCCACGUGGUAGCCCCCGCCCCCGCCCCCGCGCCCCGCAGAAGCCAGCCAGAGAGAGGGAGGGAGCCCCAAACCCCAACGUCUCGAGUCCCUCCCAUGAGUGACGCGCCGGGCCCACCCCGGGACAGCGCCCCGAAAAGCAGCGGAACAAACGAAAAGUUAGAAAAGCAGGUGACUCGGCACGGUGGAAAAAGCCCACCCCAUCCCCCGAAGUUUCCAGGUAUUUACGUUUCACCUUACCGCCUAUGGCCAGGCCGGGCCGCGCCCCAUGCCGGAGAGGACAAACACAAACACGGCACGCGCGGGGCAGGGCCGGCGCAGGGCACGCACCACUGACAACGGUCCACACCCCCCCAUGAGGCCAUCCAUCGCCCGUCCGUGUCCACCAACCCACUGACGUGCGGGGCAGGGGUCAAGCGUGGAUCGGCGUGUCAGCGGGCCGGAGCGCGCGGGUGGUGGUGGACCGGACGUUAAACCCCCACCGGCACCGAGCCCCUCGCCCGCUCCGCUCGCUCGCUGCCGCGCCUCGGGCCGGGCACCAACACCGCAACCAACAAACUACACCAGUAUUCCUAGAUCCACUCGCCCUGCCGCGCCUGCCUGCUGCUGGCAAUGCGGUGAGGAGUGAGGAGUGGAGACCGGGGACGACGACGAGAUGGGGUGCGCGCAGUCGCGGAUCGAGAACGAGGAGGCGGUGGCGCGAUGCAAGGAGCGCCGCCAGCACAUGAAGGCGGCCGUGGCGGCGCGCAACGCCUUCGCCGCCGCGCACUCCGCCUACGCCUUCUCGCUGCGGGACACGGGCGCCGCGCUCUCCGAGUUCGCGCACGGGGAGGGGGUGCCGCCGCCGCCGCCCCCGCCCGCCGCGGAGCUGUCCAAGGCAGGCAGGCUCUCGGCAGGCGGGACCGGCGCGCCCAAGUCGGGGGUCGCGGCCGCGACUUCCGCGGACACGGCGGUGGAGGAGGUAAUGCCGCCGCCGCCGCCCCUCGACUCGCUGCCCCCGCCCCCGCCGCCGCUGCCGGAGUUCUCGCCCUCCCCGGCGAAGAUCCACCGCUCGAUGAGCAUGCCCAUGGCGCCCAAGGCCGUGGCGGGGGGGAGGGGCCCCGCCAUGCUCCACAGCGACUCCAUUAGGGAGGAGGACGAUGAGGCGGACAUGGAGGAGGAGGAAGACGAGGAGGACGAUGCCCGUCUCGAUGACCGCCGCCGGAGGCUGCGCCAUCGCCAGCAGGCGCCGCCCGUAUCGCCGCCGCCUCCGGAGACGCCGGUGACCCCCCAGCCACCGCCGCCGCCUCCCCCGCCGCCGCCCCCGCCCCCUCUUGACCCCAAGACCGGGGUUGACACGUGGGAUUACUUCUUCUCCAUGGAAGAGGGGAUGGCGUCUAUUGCCACCGAGGACGAGGAGAUCAUCCCGGAGCCGGAGGACGAGAAGUACGUUCCUGCCUCGCCACCGCGCCCUCCCUCCUCGCCCCCUCCACAAGCGGUUGUGCCGCCACGGGAGGAGUAUGAGGAGGAGGAGCCGCGCACGCCGGAGAUGGUCACACCGCCUCCGUCGCUUCCGCCAAAGGCUCCUGGACAGUCCAAGAAGAAGAAGGGCAAGGGCAAGGGGAAGGGGAAGAAUAAGUCUGUGCACCACCAGCACACUGAGUCCGCGCCGCCGGUCACGGUGGUCGGUGGCUGGGGGAAGGCGGGGAAGGUUGUCCCCGCCGAGGUGCCACGCGUAGACCUGCUGCAGGUGCUUGCGGAGAUCGAUGAUAGGUUCUUGAAGGCGUCAGAGAGCGCCGGGGAGGUUUCCAAGGCGCUGGAGGCGAACAGGAUGCACUACCAUUCCAAUUUCGCCGACACUAGAGGUCAGUAGCUUGAUUCUCCUCCCUAGUUGCAAUUUUGGAUGUUUUAGACUUAAGUGGUUGGCUUUGUGCUGCUUGUUGUUUGAUCAUAUUUUGUGAAGGCGAUAGUGAUGUGAUAGGAUUCUUUGAUGGUGAGAGAGGUCCAAAACAGGUGCUGGUUGUGGGGUUGCUAGAGAAGUAGAAUGAGCUGUCCUUGUCCACAUGCCGAUGCACGGGAUGUUCUUGUAGCUGCUAGCAAGCUAUUGGUAUAAGAGUUCAUUUUGAAAUGGAAAACGUGGUUCUCGGGUUCAAUUAUUGGUUUGCAUGGCAUGAUUGUUUGCUUUGACUAUAAGUGAACAGAUAUAUUGAUAGAACAUUGCUACGCAUAAGACAAUUGGUGUACAUUUUGGUACGACACCCCAAAUUGCAUCGUCUACACAGGAGGCCAAAUUGGCAACCGUGGCCGGACCGUACAACAAAAUGUCGUAUGUGAAACACUUUUGUGUCUUUAUGAAUCAUGCUUAUGUGUCUCUAAUGCGCGCAUUGGAUCACAUUUCUAUUUCAUAUGAGAAUUAGCAUCUACUUCCUCUGUUCCUUGAACUGCCAAAAUGUCUUAUAAUAUUUAGGAACGGAGGGAGUAAGUGCUAUUCUUGGAACCUGUUCAAUUUAAAAUUUGAAGUGUUAUGAAUAUAAAUGUUGCAUUUUUGGUUAGUAUCAGAUGUGUAUCUUAUGGAAAAUGUGCUGACAGUAACAAAAAUGGUAUAUGGUCAAGUGAAGAAAUUGACAACAGAGGAGCCAACGAGAGUGAUGUAUGGGAUCUGAAACUUUUUCUUGUUCAAUGCUCAGGAGAGUCUUGUCUUUGUCUUGUCUUGAUCUAACUUCAGUUCAUAUCCAGCAGACCAGCACCAUCUAUGUUUGAAAUAAUGAAUAUGAGGUGAAAAAUUGCAGAUUCAUUAUCAUGGAAGAAUCUACGGCAUUACAACCAUAAAAGUAAAAGUAGGGACAAAGUUAUCAUCUAGUUUUAUGCUUGACAACUCAAAUUUAUAUGGACUUGCUAUUUUAAUCGAGCAUGGUAAAAAUUUAUUACACACCCUGUUAGCAAUUUAGCAGGCAAUCAUUCAGAAUUAAGCACUAUUGGUUUGAACUUGACAUUCCAAAUGCACAUGUUAUUAUGUUAAUGUUGUAUAUUUCCUUACGAAUCAAGUUAGGUCCCCAAUGUUUGAUAGGCACCAGUAGGUUUGCCCUCUUUUGGCUUCAAAGAGUUGGGCAGACGAAUUUUUUCUCUUUGAGGUCCUGUUGAUGCUACUCCCUCCGUUCCAGAAUAUAAGUUGCAUCAAUUUUCGUGAAAGUUAACAUAUUUACGUUUGGCGAAGAUUAUAUAAUAAAAUAUCAACAUCUACAAUACAAAAUAAAUAAAAUAUGGAAAAACUUUUCAUGAUGUUGAUACAAAUUUGGUAUUGUAGAUAUUGAUACUUUUUUCUGAAAACUUGGUCAAUCAUGCACAGGCUUGACUUUUGAAAAAACUAAUACACCUUAUAUUCUGGAACGGAGAGAGCAUUAUCUUACCAAUUCUGCCUUCUGUUACAUUAGGAACACAACAUUGGUUCAUGUUAGUUCCUUAUUCCCCCCUUUACAUCUAAACUUACAUCAGCUUGUAUAUGAGAGAUCCUAACCUAGCUGUUACUUAUUGUAUGUUUUGUUGUAAGAGGUUGUCUUUGUGUAUCCUCCUGUUCAAUUGUUCAUGCAUUCCCAGGCCAAAACUAUAUAUGUAAACAAACAUGAAAAUUCUUAAAAGAGCUAGAGAUUGUGGAUACACUAGCUGGAUGCUCAUGUAUUGCUAAGGUAAAUAAUAUCAUUUGGGUUAGCCUUUUCCUCCGUGCUCAAUAGGGCUCUGCCCCAGCCCGCGUCGUGCCCUUGCUGCCACACUCAACCAGACUUACUGUCCUGACAUACAAAUUGUGUCCCAUUGGACUGUGUUGGACUUACUCGAGAGCGACAAACAGAAUUGGCCUGGUUGUCUGCUGCUGCCUGCUGCCUUGUACGAUGGUGGUGAUUGGUGGAAAGUGAGAGGCUGUGGAAGGGGAGAGAAUUCCUUAUUUGACCCUUUCUUAAAAUAUACUUCCCUUUUUGGCCCUACAAAAUUAUUUCUUCCCUUUUUGACACCUAAACUUCAUUUUAUUCCCUUAAUGACAUUUCCAUCACUUUUGGCCACUAACACAGUCAGGUGCAACCCAAAAAGUCUUUCUUACCCCUGCUUUAGCUCACAGGCAAGAAGAAGAAGAAACCACAUGACCGAACUUCUCUCCCUAUUUCCCACCCCGGGUCGAUGCUGCUGCUGCUCAUGGCGGGCCGGAGGGUGACGGAUCGUCGACCUCGGCAUCCAUGGAACGGCGUGUGCCCAUGAGCGCGUUCCAGUGCUGCUCGCCGGCCGCGGUCGUUUUUGUUGGUGUUAAACAUGACAGUAGCAUCCCAUACAUGUGCGUGUAUGUAUGUGUCCGUAUAGGACUGGUGUCACUACAUCACGGUAGCUAAAAGAAGGCAUAGGAGUUGUGUAGUGUGCAACUCGCCGGGCUACGUAGCUAGCUGUGCUAGCUUUGAUCGAUCAAAACGGAUGGAGCCAGCCAGGCUUAGGUAAGUGUGACUGCUGCGACGCCAGUGGUUGGCAGCCGUGGCGUUGGCAUCUGCAGCCGUGACUCCCGGCCGCUCUCGUCGUCCUCGUUUGCGUGCCAUGCGCGUGGUGUAUAGCCUACUUGUUUGGAGGAUUUGUUAUGUGUACUGUAGUUUUAAAAGUGUGUUAGUUAGAAGAUUUAGGAGUAUGUGUCAGAGUACUUUGAACGUGAUAAAUUGUACUUAUCAUAGAUAUGAUAAUGUAAGUCGUGCAGAUGUUUUCUACAUCUUUUGUACGCACGGAUCAGUUUAGCUAAGGGAAUUUUUUUAUUGAAGUGCAUAUAUGCAAAACGUUAGUGAACAUAUUUCAUAAAAUCAGUGAUUGCUUUUUUACUUACAUAUCCUGGACAGUCACAUAGUGCACUAGGGGCAAAAAGGUCUUUUCACCUCACACUUCACGUUGUUAGUGGCUAAAGGAGACGGAAAUGUCAUUGAGGGAACAAAAUAAAGUUUAAGUGUCAAAAAGGUAAGGAAAUUUAAUUUUGGGCCAAAAAGGGAAGCAUAUUUAAGAAAGGGCCAAAUAAGGAAUUCUCUCGUGGAAGGGACAUGGGGAUCCAUGUAAAACAAUUCGUGGGAGGGGUGCCGAGGAGUUGCUGACCUUAGAAUAAAGAUUAGUCAAAGUUAAUCGAUUGGUUGGAGAGGUGGUUUUUGAUCUGCUUCGAGGAGAGACAUUCAAGCACUCACCAGAUGAGUUCACCAAAAUUUUGAAUGUAAUUUGGCCAAAGCGAAGAGAACAAAGAGGAAAAAGAGCCAAAAUAGAGCACUACUGUCGCUAGACUAGACUAGAUGGCAAUGUUAUGUAAGUUUCAAAAUAUUACUGGUUAGUAUCAUGGGCCAAGCACUCGUUUCUGUAACACGCUGAUUAAUUUCUGAAGUGCAAGUGAUGAGACUAGUUAAACCAUUUCAAUGUCAUGCAGAGAAUUUCGUCAGUUGAUUACUUGAUUAGUAAUAACACUAUUAGCCCCGUCCAGUCUUGGUACAUCAUGUGCUUGGUUACUUUGGCCAUUGGAAGUCAUUUUAAUGUGACAUAGUUUUCUGCAAUAUCUAGUCUGCAGUUCUUUAAGGAGGUGAGUGUAAAAUAACUAUUUCUUCAACUUUCUUUUAAUCAAGACUACUAUGUUUGACAGGGCAUAUUGAUCAUUCUGCGAGAGUUAUGAAAAUAAUAACAUGGAAUAGAUCCUUCAGAAGCAUGCAAAAUGGUGAUGAUGGGAAGGAUGAAUUUGAAAAUGAUGAAGAGGAGACGCUGGCAACUGUCAUAGACAAAAUUUUAGCCUGGGAGAAAAAGCUGUAUGACGAAGUGAAGGUGACGUUUUUUUGAUUAUUACUAAUUUGAACUUCUAUGUUCUGAAGUAGUUUUUAAUUAAGUUUAUGAUGAUUUACUGAAACAACCAAUGUUGGCUAAGAUGAUUCUUCUAGCCUUCUUUCUGAAGUACAAAAGAGUUGUAGAGACAAAAAAUCUGCCAGCUUAUACAUCAAAUAAUACCUAUCAAUCCACAUCAACCACAUGCAGAAUUCUGUCUGGUCACGUCCCCAGAAGUAUUCGGUAAUUUUUCUUGAGGAAAGCUAUUCUGAUUUGUAUGCUCUUUAUUAGGGUAGAAAAGAUAUUGAUGGGUGGCAUAUGCCUCAAAUGUCAUAUAUUUAUUCUACGUGCUCCCACUUACAUGGUGAUUGCGAUGGCACCGAGCAUGCUGCAUCUCUUCCAUUCUCCACCCCCUCGCCCCAUGCUGUGUCAUGCCAUGCAUCCCCUCCCCGGUUUCUUUAUCAUGGUGGUGGUAGAGCUCGAAGCCAUUUCCAAGACGUGGCCCCUCCAAAUAAGACACCAUAUCUGUGAUUGUUGUCGAUGAAUAAGAUGUGCGCGAGCGAAGCAGAUAUCCAGAACCUGGACUUGGACAUUUUGUGGAUGGAGAAUUGUGUUUUCUGUAGUGCAACUGGUCAUUUCACCAGAUCAUUCAUUUUGCCUCUGUAAGGUCGCUAGCUUCCAAGUUUGAGGCCCACCAGUAAGAGAGGUUUUUUGAUGAUGAAUCGAUGAGAGGAGUAUAGAAGACAAGCCCUAACUGUGGAGCCAGAUUCUCAUUUCACAUAUCUGUGGGACCCACAUGCGGGUUCUGUUAGGGACAACACAGUGAAAUAGGCCUUGAUGCAAUGUGCAUAAUUUCAGGUUCAACCUGGUGUUAAGUGGGUAUUGUUGCAAAUCCGGGUGUAAUGCAACACACAUGGCGUUCCCCCUAGUCCCCUAGUGUUACAUGCAUAUUUUUUUUGCUGCAAUGGUUAUUUUGUUAGGACAAGCCUAUAUUUUUUGAAACAUAUUGUUGUGAUUAGCCGAGUUUUUUUUUGUAUUAACUGUGUUUGAUUACGACAUGGAGCAGGCGAAGUUGAUGGAUAUACCUAGUUUUUUCUGUCAUGGAGCUUUUGUUUGAACUAGCAUAGAAGCACCUCACAACUGUGGUAGGAGUAGUUAGUCUACAUGUUUUAAGACAAUAAAGCUGGCAAUAUCCAGCAGUUGGUAUGUCCUGUGAGAAAUCUUUUCUGAAUGAAAACAAGCCUGAACUGCGAAGUCAGCUAAAGAUCAAUAGCAUACUGCACCAGUUCAUGUUGUCCGUUUAGUUCUCAAUUUUCACCUGCUACCCUCUAAUACAGCUUAUAUGUCUCAAUUGCACAGGCUGGUGAGAUUAUGAAGCUUGAGUAUCAGCGGAAGGUUGCUUUGUUAAAUAGACAAAAGAGAAACAAUGCUGCUGUUGAGGUUCUGGAGAAAACUAAAGCUGCUGUUACCCAUUUGCAUACAAGAUACAUAGUUGAUAUGCAAUCAAUGGAUUCAACUGUCUCAGAGAUUCAGCAUCUCCGUGAUAAUCAACUUUAUCCAAAACUUCUGGACCUUGCUGAUAGGUAAUUUAGAUGCAUAAUGCUUUUUUUUUGUCGUGCAUCAGAUUGCCACUGCUUUUCUCAUUAACUUGCCUUUAGAUUUAAUUCAUUUCUGGUCAGUGUGCAUGAUGAGACUAGGACAUAUGGUGAAAACGACGGAGUAGCAUAAACAUAGUUACGGAUAUUUGAAAUAUUAUCAUUUAAGCAUGUAAUAGUUAUUCUUUGUCAGUUGUAUGGCAAAAAUGAAAUUAUACUCCUCAAAUCGAUUUGUUAUUAGGCUGCUGUUCGUGUGCAUCUCGCUUUUCCUUUUGUAACUAUAUGCAUGUUAUUAUACUUUUGUCAUGGGUGCGUGGCUUCGGAUUUAUUGGCAAUGCAAAGUAGCAAAUUUAACUAAAAUAUGUAAUGGUUUCCUUGGUUUUCCGUAUGGUGAAAGAGAGACUUAUAUUUGUCAGACCAAUUUGUGAUUAACAUUUUGCGUGCAUUAUGUUCCUGCAUGAUUCGAUUACAAUAAUAACUCAUCAGGCUGGUACUGGCUGUUCCUCUCCCAAUUAACCUCUUGUUUUACCUUCCGUCUGCCAAUGACAUGCUCAUGCAUCCCAGUACGCCUAGUGGCCUUUUCCUGGAUCAGUUUCUUUAGAGACAUGACACAUGUAAGUGAGUUGUGUACAAAUAAUGUGCUGGAAACUGGUCGGACUCCUACAUCGGGGCAGGACAUGAUCGACCAACAUAAAUCUGAACGGUUUGUAUUGCCUUUGUUCAACGGAUUAGAUUUACUUAAUCAUGGUGGCUCGAAAGGACCCUCUAGUUAGUAUAUAUAGAUAGCCUUUUCCAGUUCAGUAGCUACAGUCAGUUACGUAUAAUUGAGCUUUGGCCAGUGCAUCAACAAUAUUUUCCAAUUUAGCAUGGUUAUAAUAUUUUUCAUCGCAACUACUUCUGUUUAGUUUAAUUACUUGUAAUAAGCCAAAUAACAUGGCUGCUAAACUUUACAAGCUUCAUUUGGUGCUCUCUUUUCAGGCUGGCAAAAAUGUGGGAAGAUAUGCACAUGCAUCAUGCAAACCAGCUGAAAACUGUGUUGGAUCUCAAGUCGGUUGACAUUUCUGAUUCCAGCAUUGAAACAAGUGCGCAUCACCACAGCCACACGCGUCAGCUGCAUGAUAUUGUAGACAAGUGGAACACAAACUUCAGUGAUCUCAUGAGCUAUCAGAAGGAGUACAUAAAUGCUCUCUACAGCUGGUUGAAAUUGAACCUUAUACCUAUAGAGAGCAGCUUAAAGGAGAAAGUAGCAUCGCCACCAAGGGUGCAGCAACCUCCUGUGAAGGCUCUCCUCCAAGCAUGGAAUGAGCAACUAGCCAAGCUGCCGGAUGAUCUUGCCAGGCAUGCCAUCGUUAGCUUCCGGGCGGUCCUGGAAACCAUACUAGGUGUUCAAGACGAGGAGCUGAAGAAGAAAGAGGCUUGUGAACAAAUCCACAAGGAAUACGUGAACAAAUCCACAAGGAAUACAAGCAUGGGCAGCGCAGGACAUUUGAUGACCCGGAGAGCGGCGAGGGGACAAGCCAGAAGGAUGCGAUCUCGGAGAAGAGAUUCGCCGUGGAAAGCUUGAAAAGCAAGCUGGAUAACGAGGUCGAGGCCCAUAACAAGCUGUCGAAGCAAGUGCGGGAGAAAUCCCUUUCGAUCCUGAGAGCGCACCUGCCGGAGCUGUUCCGUGCCCUGACCGACUUCUCCCAUGCUACUGCCGAUAUGCACUCGAAGCUGAGACUGAAUGCACUCAUGCAGGACCAAGGUAGUGGUAACAACUAGAUCAAGAACAUGUACAGGAGUUGUUAGGGUGCUAGCUAGAACCCCCGUCAGAAUAUUGUAAUGCUUGUAUUGUCUCUAGCCUUUUUUGCGGUAUGUGUAGUAGUAUGUCUUGAGAUGUGGACAGUUAGGCACUGUAGCCGUUUUGUUAUUCAUUUGGAUCCUCGUGGGAAAUUAUGAAAGAAGUCCACAUAACCCCCCGGGGUUUCAUGAACUGGCCAGUUUACCCCCUAAACUAAAAAACAGGGUACUUAACCCCCUCAUCUUUCUAAAACCA
RNAcentral lists this long non-coding RNA (46607 nucleotides) under Triticum aestivum (bread wheat). Its description in RNAcentral is "long non-coding RNA (TAES_LNC019466)". Lineage: Eukaryota; Viridiplantae; Streptophyta; Magnoliopsida; Poales; Poaceae. The record is from RNAcentral.